This 49629-nucleotide long non-coding RNA is filed under the name Gossypium barbadense (sea-island cotton). RNAcentral describes it as "long non-coding RNA (GBAR_LNC022863)". Lineage: Eukaryota; Viridiplantae; Streptophyta; Magnoliopsida; Malvales; Malvaceae. The record is from RNAcentral.
AUCACCUUAAAAAUUAUAUUUAUAUUGAAGCAGACAAGGAAGCCCAUGUGAGAGAGGUGUGCGAUCUUUUAUUCUUUUGCUUUAAUUUUUGGAUGGAUAUUGUAGCCUUAGAUGUCUACAUAUAUUUCUGUUGACCAAUUUUGAUCAGCUUCAGGCUGUGAAAGGUCUGCGUACCAUAUUUGCAGCAAAGAUUAUGCUUGUUCCAAUAAGAGAAAUGACUGAUGUUUUAUCAGUGGAAAGCAAAGCGGCUGAUCUUUCUAGAGAUACCUGGGUCAGAAUGAAGAUUGGGACAUACAAGGGUGAUCUUGCUCAAGUAUGCCUUUUGUCUUUUUCUACUUUCAUGAAUAUUCCCUUUUGAAAAAUCUUAGUCUGACUGUGUAAUUUCUAUUUCAUAGGUGGUUGAUGUGGAUAAUGUGCGGCAGAGAGUCACUGUGAAAUUGAUUCCUAGGAUUGACUUACAGGCUCUUGCUAAUAAAUUGGUAUGGAAUUGAUUGCAUUUGUUUUAGGUGUUUAUCUCAUGGAUUGUGCAUGUUGAAAGCCUUACAAUAAGAUAGUGUUUUAAUUUUCCAAUGCAGGUAUAGUUUGUUAGUUGUCUAUAUAUGAUUGUAUUUUAACUGAUUUACAUGAACUAUUUGGCUUUCUUUCCUGGUUCCAUCAUCUUUGAUCUGGUCUUAUACUGUUUCAUACAGGAAGGAAGAGAAGUUGCAAAGAAGAAAGCUUUCGUCCCUCCUCCUCGUUUUAUGAAUGUUGAUGAAGCUAGGUAGGUUAAAUGGUUCCAACCUCUAGUGAAAAAUCUACCACAUUUAUUUGUUUCAGAAAACUUAAGCUCACAUGUCUUGAUAUUUGUGCUUUUUUUAGGGAACUUCAUAUUUGUGUAGAGCGCAGACGAAAUUCGAUCACUGGUGAUUACUUUGAGAAUAUUGGGGGCAUGUUGUUUAAAGAUGGGUUCUUGUACAAAACGGUGUCGAUGAAGUCAAUUAGUGCUCAUAACAUAAAACCAACGUUUGAUGAACUCGAAAAGUUUCAGACACCUGGCAAUAAUGGAGAAGGUGAAAUGGUUGGUUUAUCAACUUUGUUUGCAAACAGAAAGAAAAACCAUUUCUUGAAGGGUGAUGCAGUUAUUGUUGUCAAGGGAGAUCUGAAAAUUUUAAAGGGAUGGGUUGAAAAGGUUGAGGAAGAGAAUGUCCAUAUUAGACCGGAAAUGAAACUGUAAGAAUUCAGUCAAUAUUGGUAUUCUUUGAGUUAAGUCUUUGAUCACUAGUGUGCAUGUAAGAUAUCUUAUUGCUAGGUCAUACUUGGCCUUCAAUGAUGUUUUUCAGAAAACUCUUGCUGUUAACGAAAAAGAGUUGUGUAAGUACUUUGAGCCUGGGAAUCACGUGAAGGUUGUUUCUGGGACGAAGGAAGGUGCAACCGGUAUGGUUGUCAAGGUUGAGCAGCAUGUUCUCAUCAUUUUAUCUGAUACAACCAAAGAACAUGUAAGUAAUACAUCUUUUGAAGUCUGGUCCAGACCUAAAGAAUAUCUUUGUGGAAAAAUAAUUGGCAUUUCUUAUAUUAGAUCCAUGUUUUUGCUGAUGAUGUCGUUGAGAGCUCUGAAGUAACUACUGGUGUUACAAAAAUUGGGGACUUUGAGCUUCAUGACCUUGUGCUACUAGAGUAAGUAGUUUUUCGCUGAAGGAUUUGGACUUGUCUUUAGUUAAUUUGGGGUCUUAAGGUAUUAAUUAUGUUUCAGUAACAAUAGCUUUGGAGUAAUUAUACGUGUAGAAAGUGAAGCAUUUCAGGUGAGUGACCUCUCUUAAGUGACCGGAUUUUCACUGCUACUCUUUUGACUGUUCUCAUGGUCGUUUACUUUCUUUUAGGUUCUUAAGGGUGUUCCAGAGCGGCCAGAGGUUUCUCUUGUCAAAUUGAGGGAAAUCAAAUGCAAGCUUGACAAAAAAUUUAAUGUGCAAGACAAAUAUAGGAAUCCUAUUUCUGUGAAAGAUGUGGUUAGGAUACUUGAGGGUCAUUGUAAAGUAAGAUUCUCGUUUUUCAUUUUGGUUUGUCCUAGUAUUCACUUUAUGAAUUUUUAGUUUACUAACCAUCCACUUCUAUAAAUUUAGGGGAAACAAGGCCCUGUAGAGCACAUAUACAAAGGAGUUUUGUUCGUGUAUGAUCGACAUCACCUUGAGCAUGCUGGGUUUAUAUGUGUUAAAGCUGAUUCUUGUUGUAUAGUGGGAGGAUCACGUUCCAAUGGGAACAGAAAUGUUAGUCUUUUCUUUUCAUUUUUUCGCUGGUUAAUUCAUGUGUAAUUAACACCAUUUAAUUGAGGUAGUGAACUUGAUUCAAUCUUUUAGGGUGAUUCUUUCUCAAGAUUUGGUAGCUUCAAGACUCCACCACGUGUACCACCAUCACCAAGGAGAUUUGCUAGGGGAGGUCCUCCAUUUGAUUGUAUGUUGGUUUUGUCAUUCUUGUUUGUACAAACAUGGUUUUUGGAUUUGUCUGAAUUUUCAUUUUCUCUAGUUAAGUGAUUAAGUUUCAGUAUAAGCUUGAUGCUAUUAGUUUCUGCCUAUUCAAAACAGCCAGCGGGAGACACAGAGGUGGAAGAGGAGGGCAUGAUGCUUUGAUUGGUACUACUGUGAAAAUUCGACAGGGUCCUUUUAAGGGUUACCGUGGACGUGUUGUAGAUAUUAAAGGUCAAUCAGUUAGAGUUGAGUUGGAGUCUCAAAUGAAGGUUGUUACAGGCAAGUUCAGGUUAAUGUUCGAAAUGUUUUCUCCUUUUCUCUAGCAUCUUUAUGACUUAUAGAACUUGUUCAUGUCUGCAGUUGAUCGCAAUUUUAUAUCUGAUAAUGUGGUUAUUUCAACACCCACUCGGUAAAUAUGAUUUCCUUGGCAUCCAUUUUGUUGUUUCUUGACUAUGAAAGCUCUCUUCUUACGUGUUCUGAUGUUGUAUGUUUUAUUUUUUCACCAGUGAUACAUCUCGAUAUGGUAUGGGAAGUGAAACACCUAUGCACCCUUCACGAACUCCUUUACAUCUAUAUAUGACUCCUAUGAGAGAUCCUGGAGGUACCUUUUUUUUCAUGUAUUUAGUGUUUUCUUGUGCUUUUCAAGUGUGGAUACUUCCAUUAAUAACUGAUAUUGUUAUAUACUAGGACCAUAGUAAUUGGUUACUUUUAUGUUCUCUGUAGCAACACCAAUCCAUGAUGGCAUGAGAGCACCUAUGCGUGACAUGGCAUGGAAUCCUUAUGCACCAAUGAGUCCACCCAGGUUUAUUUGUAGAUUCCAUUUAUUGAGUGCAUCCUGCCUCAGUGGUUUAAUCAUGCCUGGUUAACGAUUGGUUUUUUAUUAUUAUUAUGACUGCAAAUUAGGGAUAAUUGGGAGGAAGGAAAUCCUGCCUCUUGGGGAACUAGUCUGCAGUAUCAGGUUAGAUUUCUUCCACAGUUUGGUGCCAUUAGUGAUAUAGCUAUUUUUCCUAACUGAAAGUAUAUGAAUUUGAUUCGUUCGUUGUGAAAUAACUGUAAUGCUGUUCCUUGCAGCCUGGAAGUCCUCCUUCAAGGGCAUAUGAAGCACCUACUCCUGGUUCAGGUUGGGCUAGUACUCCUGGUGGUAAUUACAGUGAGGCUGGAACACCAAGGGAUAGCAAUUUGGCUUAUGGUAAUUAUAUUUUGGCUUACUUUUGCUAUUUGAAUGUGUUGAUGUUCUUUAGUGUUGCACUGUUGCUCAUAUUGUAUGUUUGUUUCAGCCAAUGCUCCUAGUCCUUAUAUGCCAUCAACUCCCAGUGGGCAGCCUAUGACGCCAAGUUCGGGAUUCUAUAUUCCAGGUACACCUGGAGGGCAGCCAAUGACACCUGGAACUGGCGGUCUUGAUAUUAUGUCUCCUGUAAUAGGUACUUUUUCUGUCUCCCCCACCUGUUUUUUUUAGAAUACUGAACAUUUUUUAUUUGGGUCAUUGCCUGGAGGUUCUGGAUGUUUUUAUGGGAUUUAAAUUUUAUUUCCCAUAUAAUUCAUUAAUUCUUUUUAUACCUGAUCUGUUUUGGUGACAAAUGCUGAAUAACUUACCUUUUUGAUCAGUUCUUAAAAUUUCUUUUAUUAGUUCUCUGUUGUUAAUCUUGGAACCCAUUUUGAGUUUGUACCUGAUCUGUUUUGGUGACAAAUGCUGAAUAUGCUGAAUUUUGACAUCUGAAGCCCCAAUGCCGCAGCAAUGUCGUAGCAUCGAGCUUGACAGGAAGAGAUUGAGAAGUUCACACUUAAAGAACAUCACAUCAGCUUUUGGGCUUAACCCAUCUCUUAACAAAUGUUGAUAAUGACCAAUAAUAAAAAAGAAUAGGCUAUGAGAAAAUAUAAAGGCUCAAACACUCUCAAGAGGAGAAAAUUAGAAUAGGACAGUGAGUUAACCUAGUCCACAAUCUUUUGGGGGAUAUAAAUAUCACACUUUGAGAAAAUAAAGAGGUGAGACCGUCGGGUGCAAAAAAAAAACAGAACAUCAAUUUUCAGAAGGCAGCACGUUGGAGAAGAAGAGGAUCCGAAGAAGGAAAAAAAGAGAAGAACGACUGGAGGAGAACCACAUCAUUCGGCUUAUCAUCUCUUCACCUUUCUCUUUGCCUUGUAAUCAUUUUCCUUUGCUAAUUUGAACCAUGGCUGAGUUUUGCUUGAUUGUUUUUAAUUUGAUGAUUAUGGACUAAAUAUUUAUUAGCUAGAAUAAUUAUGGAACCCUAAUAUGAGAUUAUUGGUAUUUUGAUAAGUAUGCUUGUUGCAAUAUGAUGUUUAUUCAUUUAAGUGUUAUUCAUGUUUAAGACUUGCUAUUGCUUGAUCAACAUUAAUGGGUAAUUGAGUUAAUUGUUAAUUCUGAAAAGGUUGUGAUUAAUGAACAUAAAACUUGAAUAGUGCAUGUUUAGUUUCUUUAUUUUUAUAUGUGUAAUGAUAUAGACAUAUAUUGUUACAGUGCAUAAUCCUGUAAGAAUGGUGCUUGUAGUUGUAUUCUUGAAAUUAAUUUGGCAUAGACAUAUGUUAAAUUAGUUAUAGGAUUGAACAUAGUGACUUCGAGAGAAGCCUAUAAACUGUCGAUUUCAGAUUAAUAAAUUGUCGCAUUGUCGCAGCAUCAUUACCGGUAAUUGCAUGUUAGGGGGAAAUAAUUAAUCUGGCUCUUCAAUUCAUUGAUGUUAAUUUGUGUUGCUAUUUUUAAAUUUAUUUGCAUAUUUAUUUGAAUUUAAUCAAUUUUUUAUUUACUUUCCAAAUUGUCAUUUGUUAAUUUUGCAAUUAAUGUUUUAAAAUCAGUCCAUGUGGAAACAGUAACUCUAGUAUUUACUAUUAUAUUACUUGCUAACGAUUGUGUACACUUGUAGUUAGAGGUCGGGAAAUCAAUCGUGAUGGCUCAAUCACAAGGGGUAGACAGUGAAGAGAAAAUGAUCCAAUAGUACAUCGUCCCCAUUGAGUUUCAGGUAAAAUUUCGAGGACGAUAUUUCUAAAUGGGGGAGAAUUGUAAUGACCAAAUUUUUAUUGGUACCGGAAAUUGUUGUUUCAGAACCUCAUUCCAUAAACUGAGUCUCUAAAUAUUAAAUAUGAAUAUUUAUGGAGCUUAUAUAAAAAUAUAUUAAAGAUUGAUUUAAUAAAUUUGUUGAAUUAAUAGUUAAUUAUAGCCCAAUGACUAAAUUGUAAUGUUCACUCUCUAUAGAUUUUUAAUUAGGAAAUGGCUUGGGCACUUAAAUUGCAAUUAUCCAAAGGACCAAAAUGAUUAAUCAUGUGCUAGUGGACAAUAAUGUGUGUGUUAAUUAAUUUAAGAAAUUGAAGAUUAAUUAGUUAAGUAAACAUAAUUAAUUAAAUAAAUUAAGCUUAAUUAACCUUUAAGCCAUAAGCCAUGUAUAAAAGCUAAAGUAACUUAAAAAGGUUUCCUUACCUUUCGACUAUAACUUGGUAAGUAAAUUUAAGUCAUUUUCUUGUAAUUUUUGUAGAUUUAAGGUCAUGAGAGCUUGAUUUAGCUAGCCUAUGUACUAAUUUUUGAAACUGUUAAAGUUUUAGCAAGUUUUCAUUAUUGAUUUCUUGAAGAAUUAGGUGUGGAAUUGAUUGAAAUUAAGCUUAGUUUAUGGAAAUGACUAAAUUGUAAAGCUUAAUUAUUGAUUUCGUAUAUUAGGGAUUAAAUUGAAUUAAAUGCAAAAAUAUUAUGAAAUUUUGUUAGGAAUAUAAAGUAUAGGGUCACUAAUGAAUAUAUAUGAAAUCUAGUUUUAAUCUGAGGCUAGAAAUUAAAAGAUAUGUUUAUUCCGAAUUUAGGGACUAAAUGGAAUAAAUUGAAAAAUAUGCAUGAAUUGGUAAUUGGUUUUGAAUUGGCUGAAAAUUUAUAUUGAUAUAUGUUUUAUGAUCAUAUGUAGCUAACGUCGGCAUUGGGUCAUCGAAAGGGAAAGUGAAAGCAAGAGUCGUUGACGAGUGACACGAGACCCCUAGUUUGUAUUUCUAUGGUUCAGGAUCAAUUUAAUUACUGCAUAUUCAUGACAUUUUGCAUUAUAUGGUGUUGAGGUGAGUUGUCAAUGGUUAUUUGAAUUGAAUUGCUGUAGUUGAGAUUUAAUAUCGAGAUAUUGACCAAAUCGAAUAAAAUGAAAGAUGAUAUGAAUUAUCUUGAAAUGUGAUAUAUGUUAUGGAAGUUGAGUAGAAUAUGUGUAAAAUAUGAAUAUAUGUGUUUAGAAAAUGAAAUGUAUCGUGGUUAUGAAUGUGAUUGAGUGCAUGUAUUAGAUUAAAUUGUAUAACGAUAUUGAAUGUCAAAACUCUGUACUGGUUGAAUAUUCGAAAAAUGAGUACAACACAGUAUGUUGAAUGGUAUGUAAUGUAUGAAUUAUAUUGAUGGUGAGAUUGAAUUGUGAUAUAUGGUUAUAAUGUAUAUUGAUUCGAUGUUACCUUAAAAACAAUCUCGAGUACCGUUGAAUUAGUUGGCAUGCCUUAGGUUGAAAACAAUCGUUGUCGAGCUAUUCGGGAUGGUAGGAUAAGUAAUUUGUGAAAACCAUCAUUACUGGGCCAGCCGGGAUGGGUAAAUGUAAGAAUAGUGAAAGCUAUCGUUGUCGGACGAUCUAGGAUGGUAGAAUAUUGGAUUAGAGAAUCAUCAUUUUCGGCCCAUACGGGAUGGUAGUAUAUUGAAAUAGAGUAAACCAUUGUUUUUGAGCCAUCGGGGAUGGUAAUAUAUUGUAUAUUUUGAACCAUCAUUACCGGGUCACCCGAGAUGGUAUAGUGAAUAUAAAUAGCAAAAGUCAUCAUUUUCGGGCCACGCGAGAUGACAAGAAUAGUAUAAAAAGAUAUGGGAUGUUGAUAAAUUAGUAUAUUAUGCUUAUAUGUGUGUUAUGAUAGAUGAGGUGUGUAAAAUACUAUAUGAAUCAGUUGAAAACGAGCCCUGGGGGCCAAACGAAUAUGAAUGAGUCGAUAGACUUCAGAAAGCGAUUGGAUGGUGGGUUAGACAAUAUAUAGAUGUUAAAUGAAAAUAGAAUUGAAUGUAUUGGAAAUGGUUUAUAGAUAGGUAUUUGAUAAAUGACUUGAAUUGAUUUUACCAUUGAUAUUAUAUACCUUGUGAUUAUUUACUAAUGCAUAUGUUAUUUUAUCUUAAUUCAUGGAAUUACCACUGAGCGUUUUCGCUCAGCGUACGGUUUGUUUUCUCCGUGCGCAAGUUUAGUAGAUUUUCGAGAGUGCUAUAAGUAGAUCCAACAUUUAGGAGGCGAUCCCCGACUCAACAAAGUUCAUAUAGUUUCGUUUCGUUUCAAAUAUGGCAUGUACCUAGGUCGAGUCAAUUUACGGUCAAAUUGAUGAUUUUGUUGUAUUGAGGCUUGAAUAGAUAGCUUGAAAAUGGUUAAAUGAUGGAGAUGCAUAUGCGAAUUGGCUUGCAUAAUUGGUUGUAUGAAAGUUGGUUAUUUUGGUAACUUAUGUAUGAAUGUAUGUAUAACAAAUUGCUUAAUAUAUGGUAGAUGGUAUAGUUGUUUAACUAAUAUAUGUGUUUAGGUAGUUUAAAGACAUAAGUGAUAAAAUAUUCUAGGAUUGAACCUUUGUAAAUGGUAUGGUUUGGUUGACUUGGUGCAUUGUAAUUAAAAAGAACUACUAUUUUAGGUGUAACUCAUUGGAGCUAAUUGGUACAUUGAGAAUCAACAUGUCACGUUGCAGCGUCAAGUAAGUGACGUCAUGACGAGAUCAAGCCACCAUGCCACAACCCGACGUUGAGCAUGGGUCGUUACAAUAAGGAGCCAAGUCAGUAUUUGGCAUCGCGGCAAGGAACCCUCGACAUCGCGAUGUCAACUUCGAAUUUUGUAAAUAUUAUAGUUUAGUCCUAAUUCACCCUCGAGUUAGCAUUAGAGCUUUUGCAAGCUUUUAUAACCAAUAAAGUAAGCAAAUUUAACUUCAAUAGUAAACUUUGAAACCAAUCAAAAUCUAUUAAUAGCAAAAUUUGAGAGUGGAUCUUAUUUUCCAGGUGUACAACAGGUAUAUAACCAAGGACUUUUUCAUACAUAAGUUUUCUCACUUGCAAGUUCUCAUCAGUAUUAUUUUUCCACAUAAUUUUAAUUGAGAACUUAUUCUGAAUAGAGUAGAGUUAUACUUACAGUUUUAAAACCUUGCAACUUCAGGUACGUCCAACUAUAAUGAACUUUAGAUAGAAUUAUCAUAUUUUAUUGCUCAUAACUAGAUUGUUAGAAUUAAGUGACUCGAAUCCUUAUUUAAAUAAAAUACAGUGGUAAAAUAAAAUAAAAGCAAAAUCCAUAUAGAGCUACACUUCUUUUCUUUUAUUUUAGAAUAAGGUUUUUUAAACAUUAUUAAACUCCAUCUAUUUGAUAUUGAUUAGAAUAAGGUGUUUCAAUCUUACUACACUUCUAUUAUAAUAUGGUUUUACAAGCCUAUAAAUAGACAUAGUCUACUCCUCUUGUAAUCAUUUGAAUUUGACAAUGUGAAUUUUCUUCUCCUCUGUCCGUGAUUUUUUUUCCCGAAAGGGUUUCCACGUAAAAUCUGUGUUCUUUAUUUUUUAUUUCUCUUUUCUUUGUGAUAUAUUGUCAUUAUCGACAUUCUAUUUAUUUUACAGAUUGGUAUCUAAGCUACCAGGUUGUUCAUCUCGAUCACGGUAAUGACAUCUUUGAAGUAUGAAAUUCCGUUGUUGGAUCGUAACACCAGAUUUGUGUUGUGGCAUAUUAAGAUGCAAGCAGUUCUUGCAUAGAUGGAUUUGGAGGAUGCCCUGCUAGGGAUAAAUAAGAUGCCUUCGACAUUAACGAAUGAAGAGAAUGAGCGUAAGGAUCGAAAGGCAUUAACACAAUUACAUCUACAUUUGUCUAAUGAAAUUUUGCAGGAUGUGAUGAAGGAGAAAACCACCGCUGCAUUAUGAAAGAAGCUGGAACAAAUAUGUAUGUUGAAAAUACUAACCAGCAAGCUGCAUAUGCAACAGCGUCUUUAUACUUAUCAUUUGGAGCAAGGUGCGUGUAACACCCUGAACCCGAGUCCGUCACUGGAUUAGGGUUACUAGGUAUUACCAAACAGAUUACAGCUCAAAACAGACAUUCAUUUCAACUUAUGAUCGUAAAUUAACCCUAUCAAUACAUUUAGCCCGUUUAAAUUUUAGAUCUCAAAUCACCCAUACUCAUCUCAUUUGCGUUUAAAAAAAUUAUUACCUAAGCUUAAACUAAUAUAUAACGUAUAUCAUGUAUAUUAUAAUUACUACGCAGUAUCACCUAGCAUAUAAACUCCAACAUAUUCAGCCUAAAUAACCUUAACAAAUGGUCAUGUAUGAAAUUUUUAAGCUUCAAAAUCAUGCACUCAAAUUACAAAUUUCAUAAUCAAGCCAAACCACAUUUAUUUAUUUAUUCACCUCAUGAACUAUUCAAAUAGCAUACUAAUCAAAAUUUAGCCAUUCACACGGCCUAGUAGCGUAUAUUUUUACACAAAAACCAUCAUUAGAAAAAAAAGAGACCAAAUACACCACUUCAUUCAUCAUGCGAUUAUGCGCUUAUGAUCAUUUUAUUUAAGCAAAUUUCUUUCACCUAUAUUGAAACAUAUCAUACCAUCACGAACCUAAUCAUAGUAAUUCAACCUUAAGUGAUUACAAUACUAGCAUAUACAUUUACCUUCACUAAUGAAUAUCCAAAUUCACGUACACAUCAAAUACUAACUCUCAAAUUAUUUCUAAUAUAAAAUUUCCUCAAAUUAUAACACCAUAACAAAACCAUCAAUCAAACAAACAUAGAAAAUGCCCAUUCUUGCAUUAGACAACCGAACUUAUAUAAUCAAAAUUCCAACAAAUAUAUAUAUCAUUUUUACAUUACUAAACUAAAUUAUAAAAAUAUCCACCAUUCAAUAUUUAUUCCACAACUCAUAUUUCCAAAAUUAACUGACUAUCAAACCAAGUUUUUAAUCUACAUAUCAAUUCUCCAUACCGAUUUAUAACCAACAUCUCAAUCAUAUAUAAAUAAAUAAAUAACCUACUUUCAUAAUAGUAUCAAGUUCUAGCCAUAUAUGGACAAACUUUAACAUUAUUACCAAACUAUAUAACCAAACACCAUAUAUGUAUACCAUGAAAUCCACUUCUAUAAUAAACUAUUGCCAUGACCGAAUAUGCAUAACAUUAAUAUCAAAAUUAGGCCAUUUUCGCAUGGCUAAAUAUCUACAAUUCAAAACAAAGCAUAUCAAGCUAGACUACACAUGCCAUAUGAUAUAAAUAAAAGUUUUCUUUCAAGGUACCAAAAUAGAUAGCGAUGGUGUGAUGAUGUUCCUCAACAAUCCCGAGCUCGAGCUAGCUUUCAAAAAAAAUCUAUAAAACAAAAAAUACACAUACAAAGUAAGUUUGGAAAGCUUAGUAAGUCAUAAGUAAUUAAAUUAACAAACGAACAUUAAUAUGGUUAUUUCAAGUAGGCCGAGUACUCCCAAUCUCAAACACAUGCAUUUAUAAUCAUAUUUAAACAAUUAGUUCACAAUUUCAUAUUAUACAACAACACCUACCUUUAUUAUCAAACUUUAUAUAAACUUAAACAUACCUGAAUCAUUUAAUUCAAACUUACAUUCGGUUUUUACCGUACCAUUUCCCGUUGAACCGUUCGGAAUCAAAUAGGAUACUCAGAUAACUCGAAAAGCUUGUACAAUGCCAACGUCCCAGACGUGGUCUUACAUGUAAUCAAAUAUCGAUACCACUGUCCUAGACAGUGUCUUACACGAAAUCAUAUACGAUGCUAAUGUCCCAGACAUGGUCUUACACGUAAAUCUCAAAUCGAUGCCAACGUCCCAAACGUGGUCUUACACGAGAUCACAUAUCAGAAUCCUAUGUCACUACAUAUGUAUCCUAUUUAUUCCUAUGGUUCAUACGGGGCUUUCGGACGUCGUAAUUUGAUCGAAUCGAGCUCGUAAUUAAUUCUCCCAUGCUUAUAUCAAAUUCGGCAUUUACCCAAAUAUAUUUAAUAAUUCAAUUCAGAACUUAUAAUUUAUAUAUAUUCGAUAUUAACAGCAUGUAUUUACUUAUGAACUUACCUCGGAUGAAGACGAACUGACCGAGACGACUAUUUGACAACUUUUGAUUUCCUCUUAUCCAAAUCCAAUUUCUCCUUUUCUUGAUCUAAUAAAUUCAAAUUUGGCUAUUUAAUAACACAUUUCAUUCAAAUUUAUUCCAAAAACAUAUAAAUGGGUAAUUUUCAUUUUAGCCCUUAACAUUUUACAUUUUUCAUAAUUUAGUCCCUAUUUCACAAAACACAAAAUACACAUACUUUAAAAAUAUCCUAGCUUGGCUGAAUAUUCCUAUAGCUCAUAUAAGCCCACAUAUUUCAUUUAUUUUACAUUUUAGCCCUUCAAUUUUUUAUUUUCACAAAUAAAUCCCUAAUUUGGAUUUUUAUCAAAAAUUACUUAACAAAAUUUAAUAAUCUAUCAACAAAUAUUUAUUUUUCAUCAUCAAACAACAAAAACAACAAUUUCUCAUCAAUGGAAAUUCACAAAAUACACAACCAAUUCAAAAAUUAGGACACGAGCUAGCUAGAAUACGAAGCAACGAUUUCAAAAAUAUGAAAAUUAUCAAAAAAACAAGCAAAAUACAUACCAAAUUUUAGCUUCCAAAGUGCAGAAUGCUUAAAACACAAAAUGUGUUUUUUUUUCUUCAACUUUCGGCAAGAACAAAGCCAAAUGCAUGGCAUUUUGUGUUUUGUUUUAUUUAAUAUUAUGUUAUUUACUAAUUACUAUUUUAAUCUUAACUAAUUCAUUUAAAAAACCAUAUGUCCAUAAAAGUCCACUCAUACUUUCAUUGGUAUAAUAUCAACAUAAGGACCCCACAUUAGAAAAGCCAUAACAAUAAAGCACUUUAACAAAUAGCUAGCCACUUUUGCAUUUUACGCGAUUAAGUCAUUUUUUGCAAAUUGGCGCAAACGAUAAAAUUAAUUUACGAAAAUUUCACACAUUUCAAUUCACAUACUAUAAGCAUGAAAAACAAUAUUAAAAUAUUUUUCUAACUUGGAUUUGUGGUCCCGAAAUCACUCUCUGACUAAGGUCUAAACUGGAAUGGUACAGUGCGUCUGUGUAGGAACACUUAACAAUGUUUAAAUAAAUUCUCUCAAACUUGGAGGACAUGGAGGUUCAGUAUGAUAAGGAAGAUCGAAGGUUGAUUCUACUUUGUUCGUUGCCCCCGUCUUAUUCAACCUUUAGAGACACGAUUUUAUAUAGCCGCAAGUCUCUCAUAGUUGAUGAGGUUUAUGAUUCUUUGACCUCGUAUAAUAAGAUGAAACAUCUUUUGGUUAAACCCGAGUCUCAGGGAGAGGGUCUCAUUGUUCGUGGGAGACAAGAUCGAAAUGCUAGUGAUGAUCAUGGAAGGACAUAGGAACGAAAUCCUCGCGGUAAAUCUAAAGGUAGAUCAAAGUCUUCAAAUAGAGGUAAAACUUUUAACUUCUGCAAGAAAAAAAGGGCACAUUAAAUCUAAUUGCUAUAAGCUGCAGAACAAGAUCAAAAGGGAGAUUGCAAAUCAAAAGGGAAAACAACCAAAAAAAUCCAUUGAAGCUGAUGUUGUAAAAGACUACAGCGAUGGUGAACUUCUAGUCGCUUCUAUCAACAAUUCUAAAGUGAGCGAUAAGUGGAUCAUUGAUUCGGGCUACACCUUCCACAUGAGUCCCAAUUAGGAUUGGUUUACAACUUACGAAUUAGUGUCCGAAGGUGUUGUUUUGAUGGGAAAUAAUGCUUCGUGUAAAAUUACAGGUGUUGGAACGAUUAAAGUUAAGAUGUUUGACGGAGUUGUCAGAACACUUAGUGACAUGCGACAUGUUCCAGAAUUGAAGAGAAAUUUAAUUUCGUUGAGUACUCUUGAUUCAAAAGGGUACAGAUACAUAACUAAAAGUGAGGUUUUGAAGAUUUCCAAAGGUUCCCUUGUUGUGAUGAAAGGCUAGAGAAAUACUGCCAAGUUAUAUGUUUUGUAGGGUUCUACUGUUACUGGUGAUGCAACUGUCCCUUCCUCUUUCUUGUCAGAUGAUGAUAUUACUAAACUUUGGCAUAUGCGUCUAGGGCAUAUGAGUGAGAAUGGCAUGGCAGAAUUGAGCAAAAGGGAACUUCUUGAUAGGUAAAGAAUUUGCAAACUUAAGUUUUGUGAGCACUGCGUUUUUGGGAAGUAAAAGAGAGUUCGAUUCACUAGAGGAAUUCAUAACACAAAGGAAACGUUGGAGUAUAUUCAUUCUGAUCUGUGGGCAUAUUUAUUGAUGAUUUUUCCAGAAAAGUUUGGGCGUUCUUCCUAAAGCAGAAAAGCGAUGUGUUUUUCGCAUUUAAUUCUUGGAAAAAUAUGAUUGAAAAAUAGACGAAAAAAUGAAUCAAAUACCUCUGCAUAGACAAUGGCUUAGAGUUUUGUUUUGAUGAGUUUAAUAAACUAUGCAAGUCAGAAGGGAUCGUGAGACACUUGACAGUUCGUCAUACCCCACAGCAAAAUUGUAUUGCAGAAUGAAUGAACAGAAUGAUCAUAGAGAAGAUUCGAUGUAUGUUGUCAAAUAUCAACUUACCAAAGUCAUUUUGGGCCAAAGUAGCCUCUACUGCAUAUUUUUUGAUCAAUCGAUCUCCAUCCGUUGCCAUUAAGAAAAAGACUUCACAAGAGGUAUGAUCUGGUAAUCUUGCUGACUAUUCUGAUUUAAAAAUCUUUGGGUGUCCUGCGUAUGCUCAUGUUGAUAAUGGAAAAUUGGAACUGAGAUCCAUUAAAUGUGUAUUUCUUGGUUAUAAAGCUGGUGUAAAAAGGUAUAAGUUAUGGUGUCCUGAAAAUAGAAAAGUUGUGAUUAACAGAGAUAUUGUUUUUUAUGAAACUGCUAUGCUACCUAACUUAUCCCUUAAAGACUCUUCCAAUAAAGAAAAUCAAAAGCAAGUGGAGCAUCAGAUUAAUCCAGAAUCUACAAUAGAGUCGACUCCUCAAGCUAGCACAAAAAUUCAUAAUAGAGUUGCUUAUUCACCAUAAUACUCUAUCGCCAAAAAUAGAACUAGAAGAGAAAUUAAACUUCCAAAGAAGUAUAACAAGGCUGAUCUAGUUGCUUAUGCUUUAAAUGUGGCUAAAGAUAUAGAUGCAAACCAAGAGUCAUCUAAUUAUUUUGAGACAGUUAGCUGUGAAGACUCGGAAAAGUGGAUGCUUGUUAUGCAAGAGGAGAUGAAAUCACUCCACAAAAAUAGAACAUGGGAUCUUGUGAAACUUCCUAAAGGUAGAAAAGUUGUUCGUUGUAAAUGGGUGUUUAAAAAGAAAUAAGGGACUCUAGGAGUUGAAGAACCCAGAUAUAAAGCAAAUCUUGUUGCAAAGGGUUAUAGUCAAAUUCCAGGAGUGGACUUCACAGAUCUGACUUCACAGUUGUGAAGCAUAGUUCGAUUUGAGCUUUGCUUGGUAUUGUGGCCAUACAUGAUUUGGAGCUUGAGCAGUUAGAUGUAAAAACUAUAUUUUUACAUGGAGAACUUGAGGAGGAUAUUUACAUGCAAAAACUAGAGGGUUUUACAGUCUCAGAAGAAAAGGACUAUGUUUGCUUGCUGAAAAAGUCCCUUUACGGUUUGAAACAAUCACCAAGAUAGUGGUACAAGAGGUUUGAUUCUUUUAUGACUUCUCAUGAUUUUAAAAGAAGUAGCUUUGAUAGUUGUGUUUACUUUAAGAAAAAUAAUGAUGGUUCUUCUGUGUAUCUACUCCUUUAUGUUGAUGACAUGUUGAUAGCAGUGAAAGAUAAAUGAGAGAUAAGAAAGGUCAAAGCCAACUAAGUGAAGUAUUAGAGAUGAAAGAUUUGGGACUAGCAAAGAAGAUACUUGGUAUGAAGAUUCUUAAAGAUAAAAAGCAAGUAAAUGGUACCUAAGUCAGAAGGGGUACAUUGAGAAAAUUCUUUGCAGGUUCAAUAUGCAGAGUGCUAAGCCUGUUAAUACUCCUUUAGCAGCCCAUUUCAGACUUUCAUCGGCUUUGUCUUCACAAUCAGAUGAUGAGAUUGAGUACAUGUCACAUGUUCUAUACUCUAGUACAGUGGGAUCUCUCAUGUAUGCUAUGGUUUGUUCACGUCCAGAUUUAUCAUAUGCAGUCAAUGCAAUUAGCAGAUACAUGACAAAUCCUGGUAAAAAAAGAUAUAUGGCAAAUCUCGGUAAAAAACAUUGGAAAGCAAUUCAGUCAAUUUUAAGAUACUUACGAGGUACUACUAAUGUUUGCGUACAAUUUGGAAAAACUAGAAAUGGAGUCAUUGGGUAUGUUGAUACUGAUUUUGCUGGAGAUCUUGAUAGAAUAAUAUCUCUCACAGGUUAUGUCUUUACAAUCAGAGGUUGUGCAAUCAGUUGGAAAGCCACUUUGCAAACUACAGUUGCUUUGUUUACCACUAAAGCUGAGUACAUGGCGAUUACUGAGGCUUGUAAAGAAGCUAUUUUGUUGAAGGGACUCUUUAGUAAACUCAACAAAGACCUUCAAAUCAGUACAGUAUUUUGUGACAGUCAGAGUGCCAUCUCCCUUACAAAAGAUCAAAUGUUUCAUGAGAGAACAAAACACAUUGAUGUUCGGUAUCAUCUUGUUCGUGAUAUUAUUACUCGUGGUUAUCUUGUUGUGAGCAAAAUUAGUACUCAUGAAAAUCCUACAGAUAUGAUGACUAAGUAACUUCCUAUAACCAAGUUUGAGCAUUGCUUAGACUUGGUUGGUGUUCAUUGUUGAAGUUAAACCCUUAAGGGGUUUUAUGGAAAAGAUGGAGAACUUGUUCGUUGAGAGUUCACGAUGAAGAACUUGUUCAUUGAGAAUUCAUGUCAAGGUGGAGAUUGUUAGAAUUAAGUGAGUUGAAUCCUUAUUUAAAUAAAAUACAGUGGUAAAAUAAAAUAAAAGUUUAGAAUUAAGUGAGUUGAAUCCUUAUUUAAAUAAAAUACAGUGGUAAAAUAAAAUAAAAGUAAAAUCCAUAUAGAACUACACUUCUUUUAUUUUAUUUUAGAAUAAGGUUUUUAAAACCUUAUUAAACUUCAUCUAUUUGAUAUUGAUUAAAAUAAGGUGUUUCAAUCUUACUAUACUUCUAUUAGAAUAUGAUUUUACAAGCUUAUAAAUAGACAUAGUCUACUCCUCUUAUAAUCAUUUGAAUUCGACAUAGUGAAUUUUCUCCUCCUCUGCCUGUGGUUUUUUUUUCCGGAAAGGGUUUCCACGUAAAAUCUGUGUGUGCUUUAUUUUUUAUUUCUCUUUUCUUUGUGACAUAUUGUCAUUACCAACAUUCUAUUUAUUUUACAUAAAUCUUUCCAAAUCAAAUAUUUUGCUUUCAACACCUUAAUGGGGAUGAUGACAAAAGCAUGUCAUAAAGAUAGUCACAAUCACUUCAAUUUAAGAUCAAGAGUAAUCAAUAAUUCAAUCCUCUUUUGAUUUAAAUGAAAUAUAAUAUUUUCCUUAUUCACAAUCUCAAUAUGAGAUCCAUUAUGAAUAUCUUUUAAAUCCAAUGGAUUAACCAUUACAAGAUAUUAAUAUAUUAGCUCUUCUAGAGCUUUCGACUAAUCUUGUACUACCAAAUAUUGGAAUAAUAUUGGUCUUUAUUUUCUUUUAUGCUUGUAUUCACUUUGGGUAAUGCAAUAGAUUUACUAGGACAAACUUAUAAACGUCCCAAUAGAUUCUUUAUUUCAUAAUCACCAUCGGAAACAUACGUAGAUUUCAAAUCAAAUUCUAUCUAUUCAUGUUUGUCAUGAUUAGUCUCCAAUUAUAAUAAACAUGAUAUAAUAAAUAAAUCAUAGUAAAAUAUACCUGAAGAUCUUUAACAACAUCGUCGUCACCUUGGUUAUUAUCAGGAGCAUUGAGUUGUUAAAGGCUCUAAUAAUUACCCAUAGUGCGCAGGCCUCAAUUGAAACAGCAGCAACCCUAGGAGACAAUAGACAAUAGACAAUAGAAAAUUUGGGGAUAUUCUUGUGACUUAUGGAGAAAAAAAAUAAAAGAGAAUCGUUUUGGUAACAUUUUAUAAAAUAAAAGGACAGAAAGUAAAGAACAAAGAGAAAAUGAGAGAAAAGAGAAUGGGAGAGCAAAGACAGAGCAUAUUUUAUUGAUCAAUCGGAAUAUUUACAAAGCUUCUCCAAAGUCUCAAUUUAUAGGCACAAGAAGUAUAAAUCAUGUAGAGAUCUACUUCUAAUGACUAUUAGAAUUUAAAGUAUAUAAAAACUUAUCUAGAUCUUGAUGGACAUCCAAUUAAUAAAAUAUUCAUAACAAAACUUUACAUUUCAGUGUAAUCAUUUUUAAUUCGCUAGUAAAUUCCAAUUAAGUCUUUAGCAUAAUAAUAAAUAGUUAAAAGUUUUACUUUUUUUAAUAUUAUUCAUGCAUCGGUCGAUGCACCAUGUUCCAAUCAGUGUGAUUGGAUUUGGUUGAAACAAGCCGAUGUAACCGAUAUGAAUCAGAAUUUUCACCAGUACAAAAAAAUAUGUUGGUUGUUCCGUUUUAAAAUUGGAUCAAUGUACUUUAAUUGGUAUGACUGGAAUUGAUGCAGAAUUGACCACCAUGUUUUUUCUACCACUCUCAUGGACUUUUUCAUUGUCCUUUCUAAUUCAAAACAAGAAAAGCUCGUAGCUAAACCACAAUAAUUCAGAUUUUAUAUGGAUAUUUUGUGCAUGAAAAUUGUUACUCGUAUUAUAUUUAUCAAGGUUGCAAUUGUACAUUCAAUACUAUGCUAAAGCUCUUGUCAACCAAUACCGAAAUUUUUUUUUUGAAUAAUCUUGAGAGAAAGAAAUAUCAGGUUCAAAAUUAGUAUUAUAAAGUUGAAUGAUAAUAGUACACGAAUUAAUUUUUAAUGAUAAAAAGAGGAGCUGGUUUUAUGUAUUAUAAAGUUAAAAACUAAUACAUGAUCAUAUUCAAAUCGUAAAACGAAUGAAGACACAUGUGAUUAUAAAAUAAAAUAACACAUGAUCAUAUUCACCACUUAUGUAAAUAUCUACUUUCAAUAAAAAAAAAAAGCCUAUAGCUCAUACAUCACUGAACUAGAGCUUAAACAUGUGAAGCUAAAAAAUAAAAUUAGAAUAACACAAUAUACAAUCAGAACUAACCAUUCAUCAAUUACACCAAAACAAAUAGGAAUCAUAUGUUCCAUCACAUCUAAAAUGAUUUCAAUCCUUUCUUGAUCCAAAUACACAUGCUCACUCACCUCUUUCUAGUCAAUUAACUCAAUCAGAGGUUCGAAAUAUUUUAAUUUGUAGUGAUAACAUAACUAUCCAAAUGAAUGGUCAUAUUUAUUAAUAAUAAACAUUAUUAUUCAAUAGACCUCUACUUGAAUAAUUAUGGAUUUUUAUAAAUAAUCAACAUAACUUUUAGUAACAAGAGACAUAACUCAUCUCUAUAAAUAGUGAUAAUUCUUGGUUGAGAACUCUUGGUUAAUAAGCAAGUGGCAUAAUUUUUAAAUAUUUUUAAUUUUCCAAUUAUAUAUUAUACAUAUUUUGAAAAUGUUUCAACAACUUAUAAUAACUUUUCACUUAUUUUUGCAAUUGAAGUUCUCAAAAUAAUUUCUAUAUAAGCUCAAUUUUGAAAGUUUUUGCUAAAAAGCAACAAAAAAAUAUUUAGAUAUGGAAACAGAAAAUAACUUGGAGGGUUGUGGAGUUGAGAAAUUAGGUACUAUUAUAGCUAUUGGCACAACAAAUCCACCCAACUGCUUUUACCAAGCUAAUUAUCCAGAUUUCUACUUUCGAGUGACUAAAAGUGAACACAUGACCCAAUUAAAAGACAAAUUUCGACGAAUAUGUAAGUAUCAUAGUUUUGUAAAAGCUAGGAAUGGAUUGUUAUUUUAUAUGUAAUCUUCCACCAAAUUACUUUUCCAUUUCCUCACUAAUAUAGAUGUAAUUUAUAUAUGUUACCAGGUGAGAAAUCUACAAUAAAGAAACGUUACAUACAGUUAAGUGAGGCCAUGCUGAAAGAGAAUCCCUGCUUAAUUAUCUACAAGGCUCCAUCCUUUCACGUUCGUCAAGAUAUGCUUGUAAAGGAAGUACCAAAGCUUGGUAUGGAAGCAGCAUUGAAAGCCAUCAAAGAAUGGGGACAACCCAUUUCAAAGAUCACUCACCUUAUAUUUUGCACAUCAUCAGGGAUAGACAUGCCUAGUGCUGACCAUAAGCUUGCUAAUCUUAUUGGCCUCAAACCCUCUGUUCAGAGAUUCAUGAUUUAUAAUCAAGGUUGCUUUGCUGGAGCCACUGCCCUGCACCUUGCCAAGGAUUUGGCCGAGAACAAUGCUAGUGCUCGUGUACUUAUUGUUUGCUCCGAGAACAUGAUCAUGAGUUUCCAACCACCUUCGGAGACCCAUUUAGACAUACUCAUUGGCUCCGCCAUAUUUUUUGAUGGGGCAGCGACUUUGAUUGUUGGUGCUAAUCCUAUUGUCAGCAUCAACGAGUGCCCUUUAUUUCAAAUUGUAUCAGCAAAUCAAAGCAUUAUCCCUGAAUCCGAUGAUUUACUAAUAGGAAAAAUACGUGAAAUGGGGAUGGAGUAUUAUUUAUCGAGAAAUUUGCAUCAGUACGUGUCUAACAACAUCAAGCAAUGCAUGGUCGAAGCGUUUACUCCAUUUGGAAUCAGGGAAUGGGAAAAUUUGUUUUAUAUAGUUCAUCCUAGUGGAGUAGCUAUUCUUAAUGGAAUUGAAGAGAAACUUGGGUUGAAUAAGGAGAGGCUUAGAGCAAGUAGGCAUGUGCUAAGUGAAUAUGGAAACAUGUGGGGUCCAAGUGUAACACCCCUAACCCGAAUCCAUCGUCAGAACAGGGUUACAGAGCAUUACCAAAAUUUACAGAUUGAUUUUUAGACGUUUCAUUUCAUCUAGCAUUCAUAUUUGAAACCAAUCAAAAUUAAAACAUUAAUGAGCCAACGUUGGCUAAAAUUAACUUAUACAUGCCAUUAUAACUAGAAUCAAAUCAUCCGAAAUUACCGGUAGAACCAAUGGAUAGUGUGAUAUAUCUCUGACAAGCUUCCAACCCAAUCGAACUUUUGAUAAUCUGUAGGGUAAAUAAAAAAAUACGUAAGCAACGAAUGCUUAGUAAGCUCAGUGUAGUCUUUAAUCAUAUUAGUUCUUUUAAAAUAUUAAAUCUAUACAUAUCAAGGAUAACCCAAUAUUAGUUCUUUUAAAAUAUUAAAUCUAUUCAUCAACUUACAAGGUGAAUAAAUCCACAGUAUCACUUAAACAUAUUAUCCCAAGCUUAGUAGGAUUUUAUAUAACUUUAACUCUUGAUAAUUUCUUUAUUUUCAUUUGCAUUUCUUCACUUUCCACGCUUGUUCCAUAUGCAUGUCACACAAGUCCUAAACAUAUCAUUCAACCAUGGUCACAAACUAGUGCAUUUACCCAGAUCCUUUCCUGAACUGAUUACAUGAUAAGUCAUUUCAUAAGAAAUUGCAUAAUUUAAACCAUACCACUUUUUCAUGAACACUAGCAUAUUUUCCUUCAAAUACUUAUCAAUUCAAUGCUUCCAUUAAAAAAAUCAAAUUACUAUUCAACCAAUAGCUUGGCACUUGCCUAAGCAUCAAGCAACAAUACUGAUUAGUGUACUUGCACACAUUACAUAUAAACUCAUCAUGCAUAAUUUUCUUGUUUCAACAUAUUAAAGAUAAUCAUACAUUUACAUGUCAUGAUACAUAUCAUUCUCUUAUCGUUUCUUAAUAGGUAUAUAUCAUUCAUUUCAUUAUUUCAAUAUUUCAUGUACCAUCAUUUUUAUGAAUUUCGCGUACAUACCGGUAAUAGUUCUCAUGUUAUCUCACUUCAAAACUUUACCCGUUAUAUCAUUUAAAUAUCAAUGGUUACAUUUAUUUUAGAUCAAUACCAAUAAUAAUCUAUAAAUCUUUCAAUUCAACCACAAAAGUCUUUUACCGUUUCUUUCUGUAUCGAAGAACGACUUACGGAUAUGAGUACAUCGUUUUCAGAAGCCCGAAGGCUGAACUUAAGCUCAUGAGAGCUAAACAGAUAGUAAACACAAAGUCUGCAACAAAUGCUGAACAUCGGUUUACUUGGGUAAUUUACUGUCAAUUCCUCCUUUACAUUUGUAAUGCCAUAGCCCAGUUAUGGUCUUAUCUGUCAAUUCAUCCUUUGGCACAGAACGAUUGUACUCAAUCCCGCGUUCAAUCCAAACUGGGUAUUAAAUUCGAUAAUAUAUUUCCAAUAAUAAUUCAAUUCCAUAUUUUCUAUUACCCUUAUUAUUUUCCAUAUUUAUCCCGUUGAACUACUUGGAAUUUCGAUGGAUUUUCAGGGGUACACCUAAGUGUACAAAUCCGAGUCCGUCAAUUCAUAUUCAUGUGUACACAUUUCCAUUUCAGAGAGCACACUCCCGCGAACCUCAUCCUUAUAGCGGGAUUACCAGUCCAGGCUAAAUCCCCUGUAAUAUAAACUCAUAGAGUAUUGUCGGGAUUACUAGUCUAGGCUAAAUCCCCUGCAAUGACAAUUACUCUAUGAGCUUGGAUCUGAAUUACCAAUCCAGGCUCAAUUCAGACCCUAAUUCGGAUUACCCGUCUAGGCUAAAUCCAUUUUCCACAUAUUCUUCGGGAGGGCUAUAUCAGGAUAGGAUCACCCAUCCGGGCUAGAUCCUUUUUACCAUCAAUUCCUUUUCAGAGAUCAUCGAAUUUUUCUUUCAUUCAACCGGGAUUUUCUUCCCCUUUUUAUAAACUAUAUCAUGUUUCAUCAAUUUUCAUAUAAUGAACAUUCAAAUCAUAUUCACAUCAAUAACCAUACAUUUCAAGCAUUUAAGAAUAUAAUUCAAGUUAGACAAACUUACAAGGCUAAAUUACAGAAUAACCAAAAUUCAGGGACAUUUUAAUACUUUUCCAUUUUCCUCGAAUUUCCACCCAUCUUGAUCUAAAUUAAUAUUUCAUUAAAUUUAUUAAUUUAAAUAAUAAAAACAAUUCAUUUCAUGCAAUUGGUCAUUUUUGACAUUUUUACAAAAUUACCCUUAAAAUUUCACUUUAUUCAUUUUAGUCCCCGAAUCUAAAACAUGUAAAUUAGCUACUUUAAAUAACUCAUAUUAUCUGAAUAUUCACAUAUAUUCUUUCAUCCUCCUCCACUCUAUUCCACAUCCUUGAUAUAUACAUAAUACCACUAUUUACUUGUUUACUCAUAACAAGCUGUUCACUUGAGUUAUAGUCACUAAUUAAUUAUAUCUUAAGCUACAGAACUUCAAUUGAGAUCCGAAAAUUUCCAUGAAACAAGACUCACAUAUAAUUUUUACCAUAAAAUUUUUCAUAAUUUUUGGUUUAGCCAAUAAGUACAGUUUAUUCUUUAAAGUUUUCCCUGUUUUUACUCUUUAACAGUUCUUACCCCUUUUCACUAAAAAUUAAUUAUCUCUUUGUACAGAAUCUCAGAUGAUGUUCUCGUUUGUUUCUAUUGAAAAUAUACUCAUUCAGAAUUUUAAACAUAUGAAUUUAAUCCUCUAAUUAUUUUUAUUUAUUUUUUUAUGAUUUUCCAAAGACAGGAACAGGGAAACCCAAAUUCAUUCUGACCUUAUCUCACAAAAUUUAUUAUAUCUCAUGAUUUACAAUUACAUUACUUACAACAUUUCUUCUAUGAGAAACUAGACUUAAUAAUAUUUAAUUUCAUAUUUUUUUCAUUCUCUAAUUCGAUUUUCAUAAUUUAUGGUGAUUUUUCAAAGUUAUCCUACUGUUGCUGUCCAAAACUGUUUUAGUGCAAGAUGUUUACUACCAUGUUUAUAACACCCUUACUUUCUUUCUCUACACUAUUUCUCAUCACUUUCUCUUAUUUUCUCUUCACUAACAUAUCAAGAACACAAGACCUUAUAUAAGAAAAACUCUACUAUAACAUUAAUUUCCUACUUUUUCAAUAAUAUCCCACUCAAAAAUAUAUUGAAAUCUUGAUGUUCUUACCUUGUGCUAUUGAUUUCAAUCUUUAACUUGAUUUUCUCUCUCCUCCAGCUUCUAUUUCUUGAAUCUAAUUUGAUAUUCUAGCUCCCCAUUGUCUCCUUAUUAUUUUUCUCUUUGGAAGCUAUGGAAAUUCUUUGAUUUCUAAGUGAAAAUAGUGAAUUUUUGGUAAAAGGACCAAAUUGUAAAGAAAAGAAAGUUUCUUUCUUUCUUUUCUCCCACAUGUUGGAAUGCAUGAGAGGUUGAUGAUGAUUUUCAUCUUCCUUUUCUUAUAUAUAUACUAAAUAAAAUAAUAAUAAAAUAAUAAAAUAUCAUUUAAAAAUCAAAUUAAAAUAUUAAUAAACUAAUAUUUAUUUAUUUAAUUAAUCUAAAAUAUCUCCAGCAUCAUCAUUAUCUUCUAGUUUUCUCUCUAUUCUAAUUGAACAUUUUGCCCUUUAUGAUCUUUUAAAAUUUCAUCCUUAAGUCAUCACUUAAUUUGGUAAAAUUGUAAUUUAGUCCCUCAAAUUCUUCACCUUUUUCAAGUUGGUCCUAAUCCAUCCAUUUCCUUAGUUUCUAGAUCAUUCCACCCUUAAAAUAUUUACACCAUUGGUCCUUUAAAUUUUUAUAUUUACACUUUAACCCCUCAAAUUUUGAGUAUUUACUCUUGGGCAACAAAACGUUUCUCACUUUUACGAUUUAAUCCUUUCUUGAACUAAUAUGUCAUAAUAAUACUUCCCAAUGUUGACAUAACUCCAAAUUUUCCCUUUUUGUCGCUUUAUUUCCUUAUUUUAUUAUAUCAAAGAUAAUAUAUUACUGUAAAAAAAUUUUUGGGGUAUUACACCAAGCGUGAUCUUUGUUCUUAAUGAGAUGAGGAAAAUGUCGGUGUUGGAAGGCAAAGCCACCACAGGUGAAGGUCUUGAGUGGGGCGUGUUGUUCGAGUUUGGGCCAGGUCUCACGGUGGAGACAUUGGUGCUUCGUAGCUUUGCUACAAAUUCAACACCAUAGUCCAUAGCUAUUGAUGGUGUGUGAAACUUUUUUUGUUCAACAAAAUUGACGGUGUGUGAAACAAUAUGUGAAUGUGAACAAGAAGAUUGAUACAUGUUUCUUUAAGAAAAAACUUAAAAACAUAAGUCUAGAACAACGAACCGUGAAACCUUUAAAAUAAUAAUCUUUAUAUAUUAUUGUUUAAGGUUUCAAUAUAUUUUGUUAGUGGAUUCAGAAAAAAAUUCCUUCACCCCUUAUGUAAAUAUCUAUUUUCAAUAAUAAUAAUAAAAGCCUAUAGCUCAUACAUCAAUGAACUAGAGCUUAAAAAUGUGAAGCUAAAAGAUAAAAUUAGAAUAACACAAUAUACAAUCAGAAGUAACCAUUCAUCAAUUACACAAAAACAAAUAGGAAUCAUAUUUUCCAUCACAUCUAAAAUCAUUUCAAUCCUUUCUUGAUUCAAAUACGCAUGCUCACUCACCUCUUUCUAGUCGAUUAACUCAAUCAGAUGUUCGAAAUAUUUUGAUUUGUAGUGAUAACAUAACUAUUCAAAUGAAUGGUCACAUUUAUUAAUAAUAAACAUAAUUAUUCAAUAGACCUCUACUUGAAUAUUUAUGAAUUUUUAGUAAUAAUCAACAAAACACUUUUAGUAACAAGAGACAUAACUCAUCUCUAUAAAUAGUGAUAAUUUUGGUUGUGAACUCUUAACUAAUAAGCAAGUGACAUAAUUUUUAAAUAUUUUUAAUUUUCCAAUUAUCACUAUUAGAAUAUUAUACAUAUUUUGAAAAUGUUUCAACUUAUAAUAGCUUUCACUAAAAUUAAAUAGGUGGUACUUGCAAUAAACUAAUGCCAAAGUAAGUAAUAACAUGAUCGCAGGCUACAGCAAGAAUUGAGAGCCACCAUAUUCUAUAAAAAUCUGAAGCUUGUGAAAGUACGAUCAAUAAUUACCAACAUAAUCGUGUAUGAAUUGUUGGACAAUUGACAUGGGUUUUUUAUAAGGUAAAUAGUAUCAUAUUUAUAGAUAUAUUAUUUUUAUUAAAAUUAAUACGUAUUAGUUUGUUUCGAUGUAUCCUUAUUUUUUAAAGAAAGGUAUUUAAUAUAUGUGUAUAAAAAUAUGCACAAUAUCAAAUAAAUAACACUAAAUAAAUUUUAAAUACAAAAUAUUCAUCAAUUAUAUAAAAUUUUCAAAAAUAAACUCUACAAAUAAAAUUCAUUAGUCAAUGGAUUAACAAGGAAAAGAACUUAAGGGUGAGUAGAGAUUUUUUUUUUUUGUAAUAAUGUGAAUAGGGGUUUUAUAUUUUAAUUGUGAAAGUAUGUCCUAAAACUAAAACCUUUAAUGUUUAAAAUGUUAAACUUUACUUUUCAUGUAAUCAUUUUGAUUCGUUAGUAAAUUCCAAUUAAGUAUUUAGAAUAAUAGUAAAUUAUUAAAAGUUUUUUUUAAUAUUAUUCAUGCAUCGGUUGGUGCACCAUGUUCCAAUCGGUGUGAUUGGAAUUGACCGAAAUCAGCCGAUGUAAUCGAUAUGAAUUGGAAUUUUCACCAGUGCAAAAAGUGGUGUUGCUUGUUCCACUUUAAAAUAGGAUGGACUCGGCAAAUUGGAGAUCUUGAAACGACAUGUUUUGGUUUGAUUUAAUUAAGUUUUUGUGAGUUAUAAUAAUCUGUUUAAUUUGGACUAGAAAUAAGUUUUAGGAACUGUGGUAUGGAUUUUGAUUUCGUUAGGACUCGUAAGAAUGCGGGAUUUUGGUUUUGAACGGAAGUUAUGAUUUAUCAUGCAUGGACUAUAGUUAAUCAAUUACUAUUCCUUUAUAAAGAACACACGAUUUCAAAAAAAUAACUUAUAGUUUCUGUUUUAAAAAUAAAUGAUGUAUUUUCUAAUGUACCUGAUUUUGAAAUUUCAGUUGACAAUUAGCAAAACUUGAAUUAUCUGCAAAAUGAAUAUUUACAAUUAUUAAAUUGGUUUUAUUUUAAUUCUAACAACGAUUAAACCCCUAAUUUGCAAAAUAUAAGUAAAGAUUUUAUUGGAUUUUGUUAAGCAUUAAAAGAAAAGGGUUUUCAAAAAGAGGUUUUUUAGAUUUGAUCAGUAUUUUAAUUUGGGACACUUUGGUGAGCAAUGUGACCUCAGGAAUUCGGUCGAAACUUCUGGGCUGAGUUUUGGGGUGUUACAAUAAAUUUUAAAUAUAAAGAAUUCAUUAGUUAUAUAAAAUGCUCAUCAAUAAACUCCACAAAUAAAAUUUAUUAUUUAAUGAAUUAACAAGAAAGAACUAAAGGGUGAGUAGGGCCUUUUUUUUUGAUAAUCAUGUGAAUAGUUAAAAGUUUUAUUUUUAACCUAAUAUUUUAUGUAUUAUAAAGUUAAAUGAUAAUAGCACACAAAUUAAUGUUUAAUGAUAAAAAGAGGAGCCAUUUUUAUGUAUUAUAAAGUUAUAAAUUAAUAUAUGAUUAUAUUCAAACCCUAAAUGAAUGAAGGCACAUGUGAUUAAUAAAAUCAUAUUGAAUAGCCAAAAAUACACUUAUCCUUAGAUAAGAUAAUUUGCCAAACACUAGUGAAAUAGGAUUUAAUCUUCUUGGAGCUUUAGGAUUUGGCAAGUUAGGUUGGUCAAAUGCUAAAAGUUCAUUAACAUUAUUGCCUAACUCACUUAUUUUUGCAAUUGAAGUUCUCAAAAUAAUUUCUAUAUAAGCUCAAUUUUGAAAGUUUUUGCUAAAAAGCAACAAACCAAAAAUAUUUAGAUAUGGAAACAGAAAAUAACUUGGAGGGUUGUGGAGUUGAGAAAUUAGCUACUAUUCUAGCUAUUGGCACAACAAAUCCACCCAACUGCUUUUACCAAGCUGAUUAUCCAGAUUUCUACUUUCGAGUGACUAAAAGUGAACACAUGACGCAAUUAAAAGACAAAUUUCGACGAAUAUGUAAGUACCAUAGUUUUGUAAAAGCUAGGAAUGGACUGUUAUUUUAUAUGUAAUCUUCCACCAAAUUACUUUUCCAUUUCCUCACUAAUAUAGAUGUAAUUUAUAUAUGUUACCAGGUGAGAAAUCUACAAUAAAGAAACGUUACAUGCAGUUAAGUGAGGCCAUGCUGAAAGAGAAUCCCUGUUUAACUAUCUACAAGGCUCCAUCCUUUGACGUUCGUCAAGAUUUUCUUGUAAAGGAAGUACCAAAGCUUGGUAUGGAAGCAGCAUUGAAAGCCAUCAAAGAAUGGGGACAACCCAUUUCAAAGAUCACUCACCUUAUAUUUUGCACAUCAUCAGGGAUAGACAUGCCUAGUGCUGACCAUAAGCUUGCUAAUCUUAUUGGCCUCAAACCCUCUGUUCAAAGAUUCAUGAUUUAUAAUCAAGGUUGCUUUGCUGGAGCCACUGCCCUGCGCCUUGCCAAGGAUUUGGCCGAGAACAAUGCCAGUGCUCGUGUACUUAUUGUUUGCUCCGAGAACAUGGUCAUGAGUUUCCAACCACCUUCGGAGACCCAUUUAGACAUACUCAUUGGCUCCGCAAUAUUUUCCGAUGGGGCAGCGGCUUUGAUUGUUGGUGCUAAUCCUAUUGUCAGCAUCAACGAGUGCCCUUUAUUUCAAAUUGUAUCAGCAAGUCAAAGCAUUAUCCCUAAAUCUGAUGAUUUACUAAUAGGGAAAAUACGUGAAAUGGGGAUGGAGUAUUAUCUAUCGAGAAAUUUGCCUCAAUACGUGUCUAACAACAUCAAGCAAUGCAUGGUUGAAGCGUUUACUCCAUUUGGAAUCAGGGAAUGGGAAAAUUUGUUUUAUAUAGUUCAUCCUGGUGGAGUAGCUAUUCUUAAUGGAAUUGAAGAAAAACUUGGGUUGAAUAAGGAGAAGCUUAGAGCAAGUAGGCAUGUGCUAAGUGAAUAUGGAAACAUGAGGGGUCCAAGCGUGAUCUUUGUUCUUGAUGAGAUGAGGAAAAUGUCGGUGUUGGAAGGCAAAGCCACCACAGGUGAAGGUCUUGAGUGGGGCGUGUUGUUCGGGUUUGGGCCAGGUCUCACAGUGGAGACAUUGGUGCUUCGUAGCUUUGUUACAAAUUCAGCACCAUAAUCCAUAGUUAUUGCCGGUGUGUGAAACAAUAUGCGAAUGUGAACGAGAAGAUUGAUACAUGUUUCUUUAAAAAAAAACAACUUAAAAAUAUAAGUCUACAAUAAUGAACCAUGGAACCCUUAAAAUUUUCAUGUAUGAUAUAAUAAUCUUUAUAUAUUUUUAUUUUAGGUUUCAGUCUCUUUUCUUAGUGGAUUCAGAACAAAAUUCCUUUUGUAACACUUAAAUGUAACACCCCAAACUCUGCCUAGACGUUAAGACCAAGUCUGAAUGGUACAUCAAAACGUUUGAGGAAAACCAACCUCUAAGUAUCUUAAAAUUCAUCUUACAGAAAACACUUAACUACUUAAACCAACAUCACAUCCAAGUUUACAAACCAUAGUCCGAAAACAUACGUUAUUUAAAGUUUAAACAAACAAUAAAAUAUCUAGUAAGAGAUAUAACCGAGCUCCUAGCACACCGAAAAGAUUUAUUUUCUGUUGUACCUGAUUUUGAAAUUUCAGUUGACGAUUAGCAAAACUUGAAUUAUCUGCAAACUGAAUAUUUACAAUUAUUAAAUUGGUUUUAUUUUAAUUCUAACAAUGAUUAAACCCCUAAUUUGCAAAACAUAAGUAAAGAUUUUAUUGGGUUUUGUUAAGCAUUAAAAGAAAAGGGUUUUCAAAAAGAGAUUUUUUAGAUUUGAUCAGUAUUUUAAUUUGGGACACUUUGGUGAGCAACGUGACCUCUAGAAUUCGGUCGAAACUUCUGGGAUGAGUUUUGGGGUGUUACAAUAAAUUUUAAAUAUAAAGUAUUCAUCAGUUAUAUAAAAUGCUCAUCAAUAAACUCCACAAAUAAAAUUUAUUAUUUAAUGAAUUAACAAGAAAGAACUAAAGGGUGAGCAGGGCUUUUUUUUUUUUUUGAUAAUCAUGUGAAUAGUUAAAAGUUUUAUUUUUUUUAAUAUUAUGCAUGCGCUGUUCGGUGCAUUAUGUUCCAAUCGGUAUGAUUCGAUUUGAUCGAAACGAGUCGAUGUAAUUUAUAUGAAUCGAAAUUUUCACCAGUGCAGAAAAUGGUGUUGCUUGUUCCUCUUUAAAAUUGGAUCAAUGUACUUUAACUAUGACUGGAACUUAUGCAGUAUUGACCACCAUGUUCUUUCUACCACUCUCAUGGACUUUUUCAUUGUCCUUUCUAAUUCAAAACAAGAAAAGCUCGUACUUAAACCACAAUAAUUCAAAUUUUAUAUGGAUAUUUUGUGCAUGAAAAUCGUUACUCGUAUUAUAUUUAUCGAUGUUGCGAUUGUACACUCAAUAGAUAUGCCAAAGCUCUUGUCAACCAAUACCGAAUUUUUUUUCUCAAUAAUCUUGAUAGAAAAAAAUAUUAGGUUCAAAAUUAGUAUUGUAAAGUUAAAUGAUAAUAGCACACGAAUAAAUGUUUAAUGAUAAAAAAGAGGAGCCGGUUUUAUGUAUUAUAAAGUUAUAAAUUAAUCCAUGAUUAUAUUCAAAUCCUAAAUGAAUGAAGGCACAUGUGAAAUAAAAUCAUAUUGAAUAGCCAAAAAUACACUUAUCCUUAGAUAAGAUAAUUUGCCAAACACUAGUGAAAUAGGAUUUAAUCUUCUUGGAGCUUGAGGAUUUGGUAAGUUAGGUUGCCCAAACACUAAAACUUCAUUAACAUUAUUGCCUAACUCAUUUAUUUUUGCAAUUGAAGUUCUCAAAAUAAUUUCUAUAUAAACUCAAUUUUGAAAGUUUUUGCUAAAAAACAACAAACCAAAAAUUUUUAGAUAUGGCAAGAGAAAAUAACUUGGAGGCUUGUAGAGUUGAGAAAUUAACUACUAUUCUAGCUAUUGGCACAACAAAUCCACCCAACUGCUUUUACCAAGCUGAUUAUCUAGAUUUUUACUUUCGAGUGACUAAAAGUGAACAUAUGACACAAUUGAAAGACAAAUUUCGACGAAAGUAAAUAGUUAUUAAGUCUUUAUAAUAAUAGUAAAUAGUUAAAAUUUUUAUUUUUUUACUAUUAUUCAUGCAUUGGUCAAUGCACCAUGUUCCAAUCGGUGUGAUUGGAAUUGAUUGAAACGAGUUGAUGUAAAUUAUAUGAAUUGAAAUUUUCACCAGUGCGGAAAAUAGUGUUACUUGUUCCGCUCUAAAACUAGAUCAAUGCGCAUUGACUUUUUUUUUGAACAACAAUGCGCAUUGACUUAUAUUCGGAUAAGAGCAUUAUUGAAAUAGCAAAAAAAAAAAUCCACUUAUCUUCGGAUAAGAGAAUUUGCCAAACACUUGUGAAAUAGGCUUUAAUCUUCUUGGAGCUUUAGGAUUGGACAAGUUGGGUUGGGGAAAUUAUUAACAUUAAAGCUUAAUUCACUUAUUUUUGUAAUUGAAGUCUUCAAAAUAAUUUUUAUAUAAACUGAAUUUUGAAAGCUUUUACUAAAAAGUAAGAAACUAAAAAUAUUUAGAUAUGGCAACAAAAAAUAACUUGGAGGCUUCUCAAGUUGAGAAAUUAGUCGCUACUCUAGCUAUUGGCACAACAAAUCCACCUAACUAUUUCUAUCAAGCUGACUAUUCAGAUUUUUACUUUUGAGUGAUUAAAAAGUGGACACAUGAUGCAAUUAAAAGAAAAAUUUAACGAAUAUUAAGUAUCAUAAUUUCGUAAAAGCUAAGAAUUGACUGUUAUUUUAUACCUACAUAUAUAUAAUCUUUCAUCAAGUGAAUUUUCCAUUUCUACACUAAUAUAAAUGUUCUUUAUGUAUCUUCAGGUGAGAGAUCUACAAUAAAGAAACGUUGCAUGUACUUAACUGAGGCCAUGCUAAAAGAAAAUCCCAACUUAACUAUCUACAAGGCUCCAUCUUUUGAUAUUCGUCAGGAGAUCCUUGUAACUGAAGUACCUAAGCUAGGUAUGGAAGCGGCAUUGAAAGCCAUCAAAGAAUGGGGACAGCCCAUUUCAAAGAUCACUCACCUUAUAUUUUGCACAUCUUCAGGGAUAGACAUGCCUAGUGCCGACCAUAAGCUUGCUAAGCUCAUUGGCCUCAAACCUUCCGUUCAGAGAUUCAUGAUUUAUAAUCAAGGUUGUUUUGGCGGUGCCUCUGCCCUACGUCUUGCCAAGGAUUUAGCCGAGAACAAUGCUAGUGCUUGAGUGCUUACCGUGUGCUCCGAGAUUAUUGUUGCGAGUUUUCAACCACCUUCGAACACCCAUUUAGACAUACUCAUCGGCUCUGCAAUUUUUGCCGAUGGGGCAGCAGCUUUGGUUGUUGGUUCUAAUCCUAUUGCCAGCAUCAACGAGCGUCCUUUAUUUCAAAUUGUUUCAGCGAGUCAGACCUUUAUCCCUGAGUCUGAUGAUAUGCUGAUAGGGAAAGUACGUGAAAUGGGAAUAGAGUAUUAUAUGUCAAGAGAUUUGCCUAAGUACAUUGCUAACAACAUCGUGCAAUGCAUGGCUGAAGCGUUUACUCCAUUUGGCAUCACCGAAUGGGAAAACUUGUUUUACGUAGUCCAUCCUGGUGGAGCUGCAAUUCUCAAAGGAGUUGAAGAAAAACUUGGGUUGAAUAAGGAGAAGCUUAAAGCGAGUUGGCAUGUACUAAGCGAAUAUGGAAACAUGCGAAGUCCAACCGUGUUCUUAACGAGAUGAGGAAAAUGUCAAUGUUAGAAGGCAAAGCCACAACUGGUGCUGGUCUUGAGUAGGGCGUGUUACAAAUACAGCACCAUAGUCCAUAGCUAUAACUUUAUUUCUGUUGAACAAAAUUUCUAGUGUGUGAAUCAAUAUGCAAAUGUGACGCAUACUCAAUAAAAUGAGAGGAUUGUUACAUGUUUCUCUAAAAAACAACUUUAAAAAAUAUUUAAUCUAGAAAAAUGAACCGUCAUGUAUUAUUGUUUCAAAUUUCAGUAUACUCUGUGCCUCUUAGUGUUCCCCUGACACAUGGAUUCAGUUUUGUGGUCAAUCUUUGUUUUCUCUUCUGGUCAAAGAGGGAAUUGUGUUCCCUUCUCCAAAUCCAGAAGGUUGCUAUAACAGAUCUGAAAUUUGAAGGUAAUAAUUGAGUUUUGCCAUCAACAUUAUACCCCGUUUGUUUUUCUUUCUUCAAACCGAUUGAAUGUUGCUUUAAUAAAUUUGAAAUGCCAGGAAAAUGGAUCAAAUUGAAGUUGACCAUUAUGUGGCCUUUUUUAAGGAAUUCUACCCACCAUAUUUCUUUUCGAUUAAUCAUCUCAAAAUUUGACCCAAACUUUAGGAGUUAUAAGAAUUGUUCCCAUUAAACCUUAAUAGUUUCUUCCUUUUUGUUACCUAGAAAAAUAGUAUUGUCUUUGUAGAAUCCGUUUUUAAUUAAAAAAAAUGAAAUUCUUUUUUGUAUAGAAGUAUUUCUACUUUCUUUCAUCCCUUCAAAAAUUUUUUUUUAAAGAAAGCCAGUUAGGGUUGAAUUAAAAAACAAAGAGAAGAGUGAUUUUUCUUCUAAAAUCUCCAAAAUAAGCUAUAGUUGAAGUUAUAUACUUCAAUCAUUACCUUGAAAUUUCGUACCUGUUAAAGCAACAUUCAACAGAUCAGUGGAUUUGGAGGAGGGAAGGUCUUUGACCCAAAGAGAAAACAAACGGAAUAUUAUGUUGACGGCAAAAUUCAGUUAAUUGGUAUAUAAUUAUAUUAUUUACGUGUCAAUAAAUAAGACAGAAAUUUUGUUAUUAUGAAAAAUAAAUGCAAUGAGCGCUAGGGGGCCGGAAUUAUAAUUUGGUUCUUACAUAAAUUAUAUAAUUAUAAAUUGACUCUUUUAAACAUUUUCUUCUUACACAUAUUUUAUCUUUAUUUUUUGGCUAUUGUUGAUCUUUUAGGUUUUGUUUGAGUUACAUUCUUCAAUUAUUUUUUUGUCAAUCCGUGUUAAAAUUGGUACUUGCCUUUAAUACCAUUAAAAACAUUCCCAAUCAAAUCACUCCCUUAAAAUAUAUUUAAUUUUUUUAUAUUAAUAUUAAAUAGAAUAAUUAUAUUAAAAUUAAAAUUAAAAAAAUUGCAUCCCCUCCCGCUCUCUCCAUCUUCAAAGGUUUUGGAGGGGCUCCGGUGGAUGAAUGAGUGAUUUUGGAUAAGUUAAUAUAGUGUAGGGAAAUGAGUGGUUUUUGGGUUUCGGUUGGAAUGAUGAUUCUGCUUUAUUUAGUUUGUUAUAGUUUUUUUCACAUUUUUGUAUAUAUAUAUAUGAUAUUCGUACAUGAAUUACCGUGACUUACUUAAAGGAUGUUAUGUUAUGACAGAUUUUGAAGAAUGGAUUCAAGAGUUAUGUAUUUGAGUUGCUAUUUGAGUUUUAGAAUAAUGAUUUCUGGUUCAUUUUGAAGCUGAAACUUUUUCAAGGUUGAUCGUUUUGUUGUUUUAUUUGAUUCAAUGUUACCGGUUAAUGCUUGGUAAUUGAGCUAUUGUUAUGGGUUUAAACGGAAAGACAUUUGGCUUAAAGUUGGAGAGAGAGAGAGGGUGUUAUGAUUUAAAAGGAAACACAUCUCGUUUAAAGAUGGAGAGAGAGAGGAGGACGUGGGGAGGAAUAGUUAUUUUAUGUUUAAUAUUUAUAUAAAAUUAUCUUUUAAUGGGUGGUGACAUGGUGCAAUUCUAUUGGUUAAAAAAUAGAUCAACUCAAAAAUAGUUUAGAUGUCUAAUUCAAACAAAAUGAAUAAUUUAAAGGCUUCCGGUUAAUUUAGCCUUUUUUUUUUUUAGGUUGACUUUGAUAAAAGAAAAAAUGAAGGGCUCCUUAUCCAAAUUAGGAGGGCAUCCACUUAGCUCUAGGCCUAACUCGAUCAAAAUCAAAACAACACCAGAAAUAAGUCCCGCAAGUAUAUGGAAUACCAUUUUAAUCAAUGUUUUAGGCUUCAUUUGUUUUAUUGACAUAAUGAUGAAAAAGGAUCGUGAUUCCAGGUCAUUUGUCAUAAGACAAAUUAUUUAGUUACUUUGAAUUAGUAAUUGACUUUUUUAUAUCGAAAAAUGUAAUAGAUAUUAUGAUUGGGAGAACAAAUUUUAUCCCAAAGAGAUUAAGAAUAUUUUAUGAGGGUAACACACUUAUGACAAGAUCAUUGAAUGAGUACUUAACUAGUAGCUUUCGUAAUAGCAUAUAAUAAGGUAGAGUUUAAUUAUGGUAUUACAGUGGAACGACUUAAUGAUUAAAUAAUGUUGUAAUUAAUAGGUGAAAAAGUUAAAACUUAAUUACAAAUUAUUUGAGUAUUAUUUAUAUUUGUCUGGCUAGUCUAUCUGCUAACUCAAUAUAAUCAAUAACGAAGUACAUGUUAAAAUUGAUAUUGUGCAAUGAAUGAGAACGAUAAGUAGGAAAAAUAGAUCGCAUGUAUCACAAUUUAUAGUGAAUGCAUUUUCCCGCUAAGUACAAAAAAGAUUAAAUUCAUUUAUUCAAAUUAUUAUUUAAUUAUUUAUAAUUAAAUAAGUGAAGUUCAAAGUCAAAAUUCAACUAAUUACUCAUCAUAAUUUAUUGAAUGAGACAAUUACAUAUAUUUCCUCAUAGAUUUUAAUACCAUAAAGUUGUCAUAAAUUUAACGAAAUUAGAAUUGGAUUGAAAAAUAAUUUAAUUGAGAAAUUAAUUGGCUUAAGAGUCAAAAAAGUCCUUAGUAAAAAAUGAAAAAAAUCAUUUGAGCUCUUAAGAAAAAAAAUACACCCUGUUAAAUCUUUAAUGACCAAAAAAUUAAUCAACUAGGUCAUUUUGUUAAUGGAAACCGUUAGUUGACCAGUUUAACCGUUAAAGGCACUGACAUGACUGACGACAAUCACUAAGAGAUGACACAUGGCAUGCCAUGUGAAAGAAUGUUGAUAUGACAUGACACAUCAACAAAAAAUUCAUUUUUUAAUAAAUAUUUUUUAAAAAUUUUAUUUAAAAAAUAAUUAAUAAAAAUUACAUCUAGAAUGAAUCUGGACAUAAUGUUGUCCAGAUCUAUUUGAAUCUAGAUAAUUACUUGUCUAAAUUUGUUUUAGAUGAGUUCAAAAUUUAAAAAAAAAAGAAAUUAUAAAAAAUAUUAAUAAUGAUUUAGAAAUUCUAAAAAUUAUAAAUAAAUAAAAAAGAAGAUAAUAUAUGAUUAAGGUCCUAACUUCAGCCCUAUGAUUAAGACCCGCUAUGCUAUUUUGCAACAGCAUAUUUCCCUGUGCUGUCGGUUUCCACUUUCGGUCAUUUGACUUCCUUUUUGAACCAAGUGAGUGUCUAAAUUUAUAAAAAAAAAAAUGGGAACCAGAAACUGAAAAAAAGGAGCAAUAUACUGCUUUGGAAUUGAAUGUGAUUGCAACCUGUUGUCGUUGAUGGUGGCUUUUGCUGAGUAUGUGGUUAAAGUGGGUGUUCAGAAAUGCAUAUUCCAGUUUUCAAACAAUGACUGCAAAUGGGGUUGUAUUUCAUGUUCAAGUUAAAUAGAGCAAAUCCUAUUUCAGGCAAUCCACCUUCCAGUGGUUUGGUUAUGAGGCCGGGACUGAGUUAAUUCCACAAGAAUCAAAGCAUUCCUUCACCCUGAAUUUGUUAAAGCUGUACGUGUGUGUGGAGUUUGAUUGAGUCAAGUAGUUGGUUAAAAAGAUCUGUCUUGUGCAAAUAAUCUAUUAAUAAUUUAUCAAUAUUUUACUAUUAUUUCUCCUCUAAUUUCAAUAUUCUGUUUAGUGGGAUUCCUAUUUCCUAGCUAUUAAGGUUGAAAUUUUGACUAUUUAAAGGCAUUGAUUAGCGACUAAUAAAAAGUAGAAAUCAGUUCAAUUCUCAUCUGUCUCUAUUGCUAAUCCUUUUCUUUAUAGAAUAAAAACUUAGCAGCAGCUUUUAUUUUUCAACAUUGGUAUCCAAGCUAGGUUUAAGCCUUAGAUUUUUCAGCAGCAACAGUAAGCAAAGUGAUGGCCAUCUACAACUUUGUUCAACCAUCCAUUCCCCGCUUUGAUGGACACUACGAUCAUUGGAGUCUGUUGAUGGAGAACUUCUUGAGGUCCGAGGAGUAUUGGUAGGUUGUUUCUGAGGGAAUUGAGGAACCAACAAAUGACACAGUAGUGACAAGGGCUCAGAAGAAGGAAAUAGAAGGGUUGCGCUUGAAAGAUUUAAAAGCAAAAAAUUAUCUUUUCCAAGCAAUUGACUGUUCAAUCUUGGAAACCAUCCUUUGCAAAGACACGUCCAAGCAUAUUUGGGAUUCCAUGAAGAAAAAUAUCAGGGUUCUGCGAGGGCAAAGAGGCAGCGACUUCAAGCACUUCGUUCGGAGUUUGAAACACUACGAAUGAAAUCGGGUGAGUCGAUAACCCAUUAUUUUUCAGGUACAAUGGCCAUUGUCAACAAAAUGCGAAUUCAUGAAGAUAAAAUAGAUGAUGUUGCUGUGAUUGAGAAAAUACUUUGCUCCAUGACUACAAAAUUCAAUUUUGUAGUUUGUUCCAUUGAGGAAGCUCAUGUCAUCGAGGAACUUUCAAUUGAUGAGCUACAACGUUCUUUGUUGAUACAUGAGCAGAAAAUUUGCCAGCAAGAGAAGGAGCAUCAUGCAUUGAAGGCUUUUAAAGAUAAUCAUCUCACAACCAGAGGAGGUCAUGGUAGAGGAAAAUGUAGAGGCGAAGGUAGAGUAAACAAUGAUCAUGGUUACCACCAGCACGAGUCUCAUUCCCAAAAGAGAGGAAGAGGAAGAGGAAGAGGAGGUCAUCACUCUACAUCUUUCAGAACAAAGUCAACAGACGAAUCUAAUGUUGAGUGUUUUCAGUGUCACAAGUAUGGCCAUUAUCAAUCAAAAUGUCGAGUUAAUUUGAAUAAUAAAAAUAGAGACAGAACUAACUUUGCAGAAAAUGAAGAAGUAUCUUUGCUGAUGGCUUAUCAUGUCAAAGAAGAAACGUAGAAGAAUUUAUGGUAUUUGGACACAGGCUGCAACAAUCAUAUGAGUGGCGACAAGUCUGCGUUUUCGGUGUUAGAUGAGUCUAUUCGUGACAAUGUGAAGUUUGGUGAUGAUUCAAAAGUCUCUGUAAUAGGGAAGGGAAAGGUAACAAUUCAAAUGAAACGUAAUGUUGUUUAUACUAUAUCUAAUGUCCUCUUUGUUCUAGAUUUGAAAAUAAAUUUGUUGAGCAUUGGCCAACUACAAGAAAAGGGAUAUGAGAUUUCGAUUAAAGAUGAAGUUUGUAGAAUACAAGAUGAAAAAUUAGGAUUAAUUGCCCAAGUUGAUUUGACACCUAACAGAAUGUUUUUAUUGUACCUCUACACCAUCACCAACUCAUGCUUCUCUACAAGGUUGCAAGAUGAAAGUUGGCUUUGGCACUUUCGGUAUGGGUAUUUAAAUUUUGGAGGUUUAAAAAUAUUACAGCAAAAGAAUAUGGUGACAGGCCUCCCACACAUCCAAACUCCUUCUCAAGUAUGUAAAGAAUGUGUCAUUAGUAAACAACAUCGAGAACCAUUUCAAAAAGGAAAAUCAUGGAGAGCGAGGAAGGCAUUGGAGCUUGUGCAUUCAGACUUAUGUGGACCGAUCGCUCCUACGUCAAAUGGAGGUAAACGAUAUUUUAUAUCGUUCAUUGAUGAUUUUAGUAGAAAAACUUGGGUUUAUUAUUUGCAUGAAAAAUCUAAAGCUCUCACAGCCUUUAAGAGUUUCAAAGCUCUAGUUGAAAAAGAAGCAGGGACUCCAAUCAAGGUGUUGCGUAGUGAUCGUGGUGGAGAAUACAAUUCAGAAAAAUUUGUUAUUUUUUGUGAUAAGAAAGGAAAUAAGAAGCUACUAACAGCAACAUACACACCUUAACAAAAUGGCAUCUGCAAAAGAAAGAAUCGCACAAUUUUGAACAUAGUACGAAGUCUUUUAACAAGGAGCGGAGUUCCAAAAGUUUUUUGGCCUGAAGUCGUUGAACUAGCAAAUGUGCAUCCUUAACGUAACAGGAAGGGACCUGCAUGGAUGGAGAAUUUUGUGGUAGAGGGAAUUAAUGAAGAGGAAGUUACACAUUUUGCUCUAUUUUCAGAUUGUGAUCCAGUAGCAUUUGAAGAAGCCGUAAAAGAGUCCAAAUGGAAAAAAGCAAUGAAUGAAGAAAUGGUAGCCAUUGAACGUAACAACACUUGAGAGUUGACUGAUCUUUCCAAAGGGCACAAAACAAUUGGUGUGAAGUGGGUUUACAAGACAAAACUGAAGGAAAAUGGCGAGGUUGACAAAUUCAAGGCACGCUUAGUAGCUAAAGGCUAUAAGCAUGAAUUUGGUGUUAAUUACAAAGAGGUGUUUGCCCCUGUUGCUGUCAUGAUACAAUCAGGCUAGUGAUUACUCUUGCGGCUCAAAAUUCGUGGCCUAUUUUCCAAUUAGAUGUGAAAUCGGUGUUUUUACAUGGUGAUUUGAAAGAACAAGUGUUUGUUGAGCAACCUCCUGGAUAUGUAAAGCAUGGAAAUGAGCACAAGGUGUAUAGGUUAAAGAAGGCUUUUUACGGGUUGAAGUAAGCCCCAAGGGCUUGGUAUAGUCGUAUCGAAGCUUACUUUCUAAAAGAAAGCUUUCUAAGUUAUUCAUAUGAGCAUAAACUUUUUACCAAGGUUGGUGAUGGAGGUAAAAUGAUUACUGUUUGCUUAUAUGUUGAUGAUCUUAUUUCUAUUGGGAGUGAUGUUGCCAUGUUUUACAAAUUCAAGAAGUUUGUGAUGAUUGAAUUUGAUAUGACUGAUCUUGGUAUGCUUAAUUAUUUUUUGGGCAUUGAAAUGGUGCAAUCUGCUGCUAAAAUUUUUAUUUCUCAAAAUAAAUAUGUGUAAGAAAUUUUAGACAGGUUUCAAAUAAAGAAUUGCAACUCCGUUUGCACACCUACUGAAGUGGGCAUGAAGCUUAUUCGAGAUCCUGAAAGGAGGAAGGUUGAUAGCACCAUCUACAAGCAAAUGGUGGGAAGCUUGAUGUAUUAAACUGCAACAAGACUAGACAUUAUGCAUGUUGUAAGUCUCAUUAGUAGGUUCAUGGAGUGCCCAAAGGAAAUUCAUCUUUUAAUUGCAAAAAAAAUACUUCAGUAUUUGAAAGGUACUACUAGUUAUGGUCUGUUCUACAAAAAGGGUGAAAAAUCAGAUUUGUAUGGCUUUACAGACAAUGAUUAUGCUGGUGAUCGAGAUGAUAGAAAGAGUACUUCAAGUUAUGCAUAGAAAGAGUACUUCAAGUUAUGCAUUUAUGCUGGGCUCAGGGGCUAUUUCUUGGUCUUUAAAAAAACAACAAAUUGUCACUUUAUCUACAACUGAAGCCGAGUUUGUGUCCGCAACAGCUUGUGCUUGUCAAGCUAUUUGGUUGAGGAAAAUACUUGACGAACUACACUUAUUGCAACAAGGAGCAACAACAAUUUUCUGUGACAAUAAUUCAGCAAUCGAACUUUCCAAGAAUUUGGUGUUACAUGGACGAAGCAAGCAUAUAGAUGUGAAGUACCAUUAUUUGAGGGAUCUUACAAAUAAUGGCGUCAUUGAUUUGAUUUGUUGUAGGAGUGAAGACCAAAGUGCUGAUAUUUUCACUAAAUCUUUAAAGAGAGCUGCAUUUCAGAAGUUAAGAAGGUUGCUUGGUGUCUGCACUUUGGAAGAUCCAUCAGUUUGAAGCUAUAAUCUUUUAAACCAAAUAUUUGCGAGUUUUUGGUUUAAGGGAGAGUUUGUUAAAGCUAUACGUGUGUGUGUGGAGUUUGAUUGAGUCAAGUAGUUGGUUAAAAAGAUCAUGUAUUGUGCAAAUAAUCUGUUAAUAAUUUAUCAAUAUUUUACUGUUAUUGCUCCUCUAAUUUCGAAAUUUUGUUGUAGUAGGAUUCCUAUUUCCUAGCUAUUAGUUGUUGGAAUUUUGCCUAUUUAAAGGCAUUGAUUAGUGGUUAAUAAAAAGUAGAAAUUAGUUCAAUUCUCAUCUGUCACUAUCGCUAAUCAUUUUCUUUAUAGAAUAAAAACUUAGCAGCAACUUUUAUUUUUCAACAGAAUUUAUUGUAUUUGAAAAAAGGGAUUAAUCAAGUUACAGAUGAUGUCUGGCUUCUACUUGCGGACCAUACAUACGGAUACAGUAUAUAUAUUUGCAAAUAAUAGCUUAAUGGAACAUAUGGUUGUCAGGCAGUGGAGGGGAUAAAUAUAUAUAUAGAAAAGAGGGUUUCUUUGUUUAUAGAGAAAUUCCAUGAUAUUCAAAAUAUAGAGAGUUAAAAGGCGGUUAUUUUACUAAAUUGACAAAAAAAUUAAAUAUUUAUAAGAAUAAUUUAGAUUCAAAAAUAUUAACGAAAAUAACCUAGAAAGAACAAUGUACAGUGCUGUCGGCAACUCUAUGACUGGCACCCAUGUCAGAAAUGAUUAAAAAAUAUAUUUUUGGUGCCGGUAAUACAGUAGUCGACAUCCAUGUAUAUUUUUUUUACCCGUAUUUUGUACAAUACAUUUUAUACUUAAUUUUAAAAAUUAAUAAUUUUUUUGAGUGCCAUAUAGUGGGUGGCCAGCACCCAUUUUCAAACCUUUUUAAUUUUUUGGUGCCAGUACUGAGGUAGCCAACACCCAUUUUCAAUGACAAAUAUUAUUUUUCUUGAUCUCGUGAACCCAUCGGUCAGCAUCAGUACAUAUUGGAAUUUCGUGAUCAAAAAACAAAAAGAAAAAAAUAUGUAAACUCAUCUUUUGCAAAUGAUUCUCUUCGCUAUUUCUUCCCAAACCCCUCCUUUUCAUCAUCUCUUGUUUCAGAAAACUAAAAAGAAAAAAAAAGACUUAUGAUAUAAUUUAUCUGUUUCAGAAAAUGAAAAGCCAAAAACAUUUUAGAAAAUGAAAAAAAAUUGAGAAGAAUGGAGGAAGAGAAAAAAAAAAUUUGAGAUAUGGAAAAUGAAAAUGAAUGGAACAGUUGGGUUUUCAAUGAGGGAUACAACUCAUUUCUUUUUGUUUUAGUUUUAUUUAUUUAUUUAUUUACUUGUUUGUUGGUUUUCAAUGUUCUGUUGGCUUUUCAUUUUCAGAAACAGUUAAACUAUCGAAAGUUUUUUUUUUUUAAAUUUUUUGAAACAGGAGAUGAUGAAAAGGAAUGAAAGAGUUUGGGAAGAAAUAGUGAGAGAGAACUAGUUGCAAUAGAUGAGUUUGCAUAUUUUUUUCUUUUGGUUUUUUUAUCAUGGAAUAUCCAUAUGUAUUGUUGUUGGCCACCUGCUACAAGACACCAAAAAAAUUGUUUUUUUAAAGCCAUGUGUAAAAUGUAUUGUACAAAAUAUAAGCAAAAAAUACACAUGGGUGCCAGUCAUUACAUUACCGACACCAAAAAAAAAAACUUAAUCCUUUCUGACAUGAGUGCCAGCCAUGGGGUUGUCGGCACCAUCGUGCAUUGUUCCUUCCAGGUUAUUUUUAUUAAUGUUUUUGAAUCUGGGUUAUUCUUAUAAAUAUUUAAUCUUUUUAGGUCAUUUUAGUAAAAUAGUGUAACACCUCUUACCCGAGACCGUUGCCGGAAUCGAGUACGAGGCAUUACUUAGCUUAUCUUACUAAUUCGGGGCAUAAAAAUUCGUUUUAAAAAUUAAUUUCACUGUUUACAGUAAUCUGUCCAAUCACGCAGCAGUUACUAAAUUGAUUAUAACUCGAGCUACGGAACUCCAAAUUUAAUUUCGUAAUUUUUUCCUGAAACUAGACUCAUAUAUCUUUCUACCAUAAAAUUUUCAGAAUUCUUGGUUUGACCAAUUAAUACAGUUUAUUAGUUAAAUUCUCCCCUGUUUCUUCACUCGACUGUCCUGACCCCUUGGUACUAAAAAUAAAUUUUCUCAUUAUAGGAUUUUCAUAUGAUAUUACCACUUUUCAAUCAAUACACAAUUCACAUAUUCACAUAUCUCAAUUUAAUAUCUCAUUUAUUCAAUUCAUAUUUUAAUUCAUUCAAUUAAAUAUUGAUAUUCUCCUUAUUUUUAUUUACUAACAUAUUAUUCAAAAUUCAAUAAUUACUGUCAAUAAAUUCAAUAUCAAUACGUAUAUAUAUUAUUCAAUUCAAUUAUGAAACUCACCUCAAUUUGCUUAUCGUGUAUAUUAAUUUAAUUUUCAACGAUUAAUAAUUAAAUUCGAAUUAUAGUAAUACUAACCGCAAUUUCUCUCGAGUCACUCCUUGUCCACUUUCUCCUUUCCUUUCUCGGACAAUGACUCGUACACGACAUUAGCUACGUAAUUAAACAAUUAAAAAUCAUUAAUACACAAUUUUAUUAAAAUAUUUCCUUUUAUACCUAAACUUUACCCAAAUUCUAAUUUAAUCCCUUACCAAUACUAAUUUUAUUUUUCCCAAUCUAACUCUACAUUCUCUCUUAAUUCUUACUAUAAAGUCAAUUUAAUUCCUCAAUUUCACCAUAAAUCCCUAAUUUCGGGAUUCUUUCAAUUUAAUCCCUAUCGAUUCAAAACUUAUAUUUUAUUUUACAAUCACAUUCUUUACUAACUUCUAACUUGAAAUUAAAUCAAUUUAACCCCUAACUAAACCUAUAUAUUUUUCUUUCUCAAUUCAUACCCUUAUUCUACCCAAUUUCUUACUAAACUCAUAUUUAACUAUUUAAUUUUUAUCAUGUUUUCAUAAUUCCGAAUUUAUUUCAAAUUAAUCCCUAAAAUUCAAAACUUAUAGUUUAGUUUACAAUUCAAUCCUUUAUUCAAUUCCAAUCAAAAUUUCUAUCAAAUACAUCCCUAAUUUAACAAUUUAUUCAACAUGAACCAUGCUUAAUAAUCUACUAACUUCCAAAAUUUCAACUUAAAUCAAGUAGUAUUUUGUUCUAGGAUUUCAAAAAAAAUAUCAAAAUUAAGAGAAAAGGGGAUUAAAUUGACUUACCAAAUUACUUUGAACCUUAAAACCCCAAAUUUCUCUUUUUCUUUUCUUUUUUUUCUUUCUUUCCUUCCUUCCUUCUCUGUUUCGUUUUGCUCUCUGUUUCUUUCUUUCUCCCUUCUCUGUUUUGUUUUGCUCUCUGUUUCUUUUCUUUCUUUCUUUGUCAUAUAUAUAUAAUAUAAUAUAAUAUAAUAUAAUAUAAUAUAAUAUAAUAUAUUAUAUUAAUAAUAAUAUAAUAUAAAAACAUAAUUAUUACUUACGCAUGUAUAAUAUAAUAUAUAUAUUUAAAAUUAAAAAUAUCUUAGAUUUUUCUUUUGUUAUGCCGCCUCAACUUUAGAAAAAGGCAUAAUUGCCUAUUUGGUCCUUUAACUUUUCUUUAAUCUAUAAUUAAACUUUUAUCCUUACUUCAAUUUAGUCCUUUUUCAUAAUUAACUAUCAAAGCGUUAAAAUUUCUUAACAAAACUUUAAUAUUAUCCUGUUGACACUCCGUAAAUAUUUUUAUAAAUAUUUACGACUCAGUUUAUAAUAUCGAGGUCUCGAUACCUCGUUUUCGACCCAAUUUACCUAAUAAUUUCUUUUAAAUCACAAAAUUCACUGAUUUAAAAAUAUUUCUAAAAUCACACUUAACUUAUAAUUAUUAAUUAAUAAAAUUUUCUAACUUUUUCAUCAAUUUUAGUGAUCUCAAAUCACUAUUCUGACACUACUAAAAAUUAGGUUGUUACAAAUAGCCACCAAAGGUGAAACCUGGAGAAGGAAGCUUGUGAAAGGAUUUAGAGAAAGGAAAAUAGUAAGGUAAAAAGGAGAAAAAUAAAAACCAGAGAUGCGAAUCCAGUUUUGAACUUGUUUAAACAACAAGAAUAUGAAAAAUAUAUAUUUAUAUAGAAACUUGAACUUUUUUUUAGUUUUUAAUUUUUUUUAAUUUUUUUAUAAUUUCCAACUUUUUAGUUUUAAACUCAUCUAGAAUAAUUCUAAUCAAAUGGUUAGCAAGAUUCAAAUGAACAUAGACAAUCAUUUGUCCAGGUUCAUUUUAGAUAUAAUUUUUAUUAAUUAUUUCAACAUCGUUCCACGUGGUCAACUUCUAGUAGCUGUCGUCUACCAUGCCAACACCUAUAAUAGUCAAACCGGUCAACUAAUUGUUUUUGUUAAUAGAAGGACCUAGUUGAUUAUGUUUUGGUCAUUAAUGACUCAAUAGGACACUUUUUUUAAAGGGCUCAAAUGAUAUUUUUUUUUCCAUUUUUUACUAAGGGCUUCUUUGACCCUUAAGCCAAAUCAAUUUAAUUAAUAUUUUGAGAAAUAGAAAAUAAUAAUUGGGUUAGAUAAAUUAUAAGUGUUGGAUAAAAAUCCGGAUAACGUAUAUAAUUGUAAAUAAUAUACAAGAGGCCCAAUAAACAUUGUUUUAUGAAAGGGGCGAAAAACUCUAGAAUUUUCUAGAAUGUGUUGCAGCCCCUUGUGUUCCACUUCUAGUAGAAGAUUGUAUUUUCUAUUAAGCUAUUAUUAUUUAAUUACAUUUUAUUUAAACAAAACUCUUGUAUUGUUUCUCUAUAAAUAAAAACUAUAAAUUAACCUAAUUAGUAUUUUUUGAGAGCUCAUAGUUUUCGGUUCUUAUAGAGAGAAUUAACAAGCCUACUGAAAGUUAAGAAAAAAAAAUUCACUAUGUGCAUUGGUUCGUGCAAAUCUGGGUUUAAGGAUAAUAGAGAAGGUUGUCGAUAGAAAGUUGAGAAACAACGUUGAUCUCAUCGCACAAAACACAAGUACUAAUUUAAUUAAGAAUUUAUUAUUAUAAAUAUUAUAAUGCUCAAUUUUAAAAAACUUAAGCUCUCCUUAUACCUAAAAAUAUUCUUUUUUAAACUAAUUUUUUCAAAAAUCCUAACAUUGACAAAGAUAUUGUGUGUACUUGCAGAGGACCCUUGGCUUAAGUAGAUUGUUAGACUCAACAUUUAUUGUUCUAGGAAUGUGAUCUAUCUCCCAACAACAAAUAGAUUUAAAAAUAUGAUAAUGUGGAGCAUUAUCAAGUGAAUGAUCUUAAUGUGUGAAAAUUGGCUUUUAAUGGGCCCAUAACAAAAAAAAGUUAGAGAUAGUGACUAUUGAUUAUCAAGCUUACGAGAAUCAUCGGAUCCCUAUUAAAUUGACGGAUUGUAAUAAAUUAUGCCUAAUUUUUCUUUAUUUUUUUGGAUUAUAAAUUUCCUAACCAAACUUUGUCGGUUACUAUUGGUAAAAAGAGCUCGCAGGAAAAUGAUAAAAAAUUGAAGAUCAAAACGUAGAGAGAGAGGUGUGGGGGAAAGGCAAAGUUAGAAGAUACAUUGUGCUUGAGAUAAAGAGGAUUUCAGUGUUUCUAGAUCAAUUAUGUAAAGACAGAUACAUUGUGCUUUAAGAAAAAUGGACACAAAUGGAUUUCACUUGUGCUAUUGUUAACAUCUAUGCCCAGUAUGUUAAUGAUGAGCAAGUGUUGUUGUGGGAAGAUAUUCUGGAUAUUAGAAAUAACAUCUCUUGACCUUGAUGUUAUUGGGAAAUAUACCUAUAUUGUAUUAAAUAUAUAAUUAUUUUUUUUAUGUAUUUGAACGAUGAAUAAAUAGAUAAAAUUAAUUUUACAUUUCACUAAUAUAUAUAUUUUGUGUUUGUAUUUCAUUUUCUAUAUACAUAGCGAAGUUGUGAUAAGCAAAUAUUAUCCCAUUGAUUGUCUAAGUUCAAAUUGAUGAUAAGUGGCACUGUAAGAAUGUUUACAUUACGAGAAAGACAACUUACUUCAGUAGAUAAUUUAAACGAAUCCAUAAUCCCGUAAAAGAAUCAAAGUGAGCAUUUGAUUCAAAUACUUAGAAGGAUUAUUAUGUUGUCUCCAAUUCUAAUUAAGGAGAUGGUUAGUCUUGGCUAUCAGAACAGUUGGGUCUACGGGUAGAGAAAUACAUGUACUCAUUGAAAGAAUGAUACAUUGGACUGGACCCAAGUUGAAUUAAUUCUGAAUCCAUUUGUGAAUUGAUUCACUUGUGGCGUUCAUGGUGUGACUUACCUAAAUCCUGGAUUAGUCACUGACCAUGCGUAUGUGACUCAUGUGCUUUGAUAUAAGUGGAGGUUUAUACUCUAAAGAUGAUUGAGCCGAUAGCCGGUAUGUUGGUUACAUGACUUUACUAGUAACAAUGAAAUUCAUAACUCGAUUAAAGAGUUAACGAUAUCUUCUCAUUUGCAUUGUUUGGAUUAAUAAAUAUGAAACAUGGUCACGGGUUGCUUGUUCUCAAAUGAGCAAUUUAUCAUGAUCGUUAGUUGACAGUGAUCAUAUUAAUCAUUAAGAAGACACAAUGGUAACAAUGGAAUAAAAUAGGAUUAUAUUGAGUGAACGAAUUUAACUCAAAUGAAUCAAUAAUAUCAUAUGAAAGUAACACACAUAUGACGAGGUCAUUGGAUAAAACAAUUGGAUGAAUUAGUUUUGUAAAGUGUAAACAAUAAGGAGUUUUCAAUCAUGGUACUUUUUGUGGACUGACUCCAUAAUUAAGUAAAUUACAAAUUAUCAGAAUGAUUCCUUUAGAUAUAAAUGCAAUUACUCGAGUCUAAUUGUAUAUGUCUGUUUGGUCUCUCCACUAGCUCAAUAAAAGCUCGACCGGAUUGCAUUUGAAUUAAAAAAAUUUCUACAACUUCGAAAAUAAUUUAAUUGAGUCAAUUUAUUCGAUGAUAAAUUAAAUUAGACAGUCGUGAGAAUUUGUUCAACUAAAGAAUUUAAUUAAAGAUUUUUUUCAAAAAUUAAUUUAGAAAAUAUCAGUGCUUUUUGAGAAAAUUAUUUUUUUAUCAAGUAAGAUUAGAUUAAUUAAAAUAAAUAUGAUAUUUUUUAAAAUUAAUUUUUAAGUCAGACAAUUAGCCCAAUGGGUAAUUAAACUUAAAAAUUAGACCUAAGAUUAAAAAAUUGAACCCAAGACCGAAACCCAAAAAUUGGAUGAACCGAGCUGUGUAUGAAACUGGGCUAACGAUCCAAUCGGUGGCUGGACUGGAUCGACCAGGCCGUCAUUGGUCCAGACCGAAUCUACUGUCACACCAACCAGACAUGCGAAUGUCUAACCCAUGGUGCCCCAACCAUGAUAGCAAGCUAUUCAAACAACUUGCUAGGGGUCUUGGCCAACCCCAUUGUUAGCAUCGGACUAGGUGUGCAAACGCCUAGCCGAGGGAUGUUGCACCCUGUGCGACUGGUCAUGCGAACGAUCGACCUGAGAAGACACCUAUCAAUUGGGAAAAAUGGGAGGUUGGGCGUAGAGCUAGCUGUUCAAAGGGCUAGCUCCACCCUAGCCAUGACACAGACGGCCUCGUAAGGAGGCACCGAGCCGACCAGACCCAUUCGAGAAAAACAAUGAUGGUUCGGGGUGCUAGGGGGAAGUUGCGUCGACAAUGACACCAUCAGGCACGACGGUUGUGAUGACAACGAUCCGACGACCGAUAGAUGGUCGAUGAUAAUGAUUCUUUGACGACAUAUAGUAUUUUAUUAAUUUAAUAUUAAUGUGAGAUAUUAAAUUUGAUUUAAUAUUUGUGAUAAUAUUUCUUAAUUUAAUAUUAAUAUAACUAAUUUCAAUCCUAAUUUAUCUGUAUCUAAACUCUCAGUAUAAGAAGAGUGAACCAUUAUUUUGAUUAAGAGCGAGCCACAAAAUACAAAUUUUGAUUAGUUAUUUAUUAGCAAAAAAGAAUUGCUGCAGGUAACCUAAAAACUAUUAAUUAAUUAUAUACAAAGUCUCGUAAGCUUCUCUUCCUUAUCUAGGGUUUCACAAAAAAUUCAGAAGUAUGAUAUCGUAAAUCUUUUUUUUAGACUUUAGAUCCUCCAUCGAGUUGCUGCAAUGGCCAGAGGAAGAGGUGAGGAAGAUGAUGACAUUGAAGACGAAGAGUACGAAGAUGACGACCAAUUGUUGGUCGAUGAGGAUUACGACGAGGACGAAGACGUAGGGAGAGGCCGUGGCAGUUCAAGUAAGAAGCGGCGGAGAUCUGAUUUCAUCGAUGACGUGGCAGAGGAGGACGAUGAGGAAGACGAAGAUGAUGACGAUGACGAUGAGCUUUAUGGCGGUGGUGGGAAAAAGCAUAGCAAGGCUCCUCGUUUUGGCGCUCAGUUUUUUGAUCUUGAAGCUCAAGUCGAUAGCGAUGAGGAAGAGGAAGAGGAUGAGGGAGAGGACGGUAAUUUCAUGUGCUUAAUUUUGUUCUUGAAAUUGGUAAUGAAGUGGGAAAAUUGAUGAUUAAUGUGCUCUAAUUGAUCAUAUAUUGAGAUAAAUUAAAUUAAGUUAUUUUUUAGAAAUUAUUUUCAAAUUCAAAACUUAAAUUUAGUUCAACUUCAAUAUAGUUCAACUUAAAUUCAAAACUCUUUAGGUGGUUGUAUGUCAUUCUGAUAUCUAAGCAAUUAUCAGAAUGUUGUUUUCAACAUUGUUAUGGUAGUGUAAUUUAACAUCAGGAAUGACUUUGGUAGUUUUCCAACCUUUUCCUUCUGAACGUGUCUGUCGAAAAGUCUCAUUCAUUACAAUGAACUCUUAAUGUGACUAUUAUUGGCUAGGCAAGGCCGAAAUAAUGCUACAUUGCAUACUUGGCAUUUGAUGCUUGCAGAUUCAAGGAAUUCCUCCUUUUUGAACAUAAUCACUCAAUUUGAAAAUUUGCUACUUCGAUAAUUGUUAAAAUCUCAGCGAGCUCAUUGUUUUCUAAUUGUUUUUUUAUUCUAAACUUUUAUGUGAUGAAUCCCUCUUUCAUUACAUUGAAUCACAAUCAUUUGUAGGAACUGAAGAAGAGUUCAUUUCUGCAUAGUUCUUGAUUCACUUUUUACUGUUCUGUUGCAUUUGGACCUGUAUUGGGAUGGUUUGUAUUCAAUGUUUUGCAAGUUCUAAGAAUACUUCCUUGUUUUGAAAUUUAAAUUAUUCAAUUGCAAUUUCAAGGUUUUGUUUUUUCUUUUACUCCUCCCCUGGUUAUUGAGUUCUAAUUUAGUCAUUUUUUUAUGCUUCUUAGUUUUUAGCAUAUUAUUCUUGAGAAUCUUUCUAUUCCACCUAUAAUCAAUUCGUUAUAGCUCCUGCAGUAGCAGUAACUCGGAUAGAAAUGAUGUGUAGAAGCAUUCAUGUGAAUAGCAUGGCUGGUAUCAUUUGUUCACAUUUUCAAUGUUUUGCCCCAAACAAUAUUGCUUUCAAUUAUCGUACAUGUUGCUCUGAUUGAAAAAGAUAAAUGCAGUUCAGAUUGACUGAUGAGGCAUGCAUAAUCAGCACAAUGAUUUGAUUUGGUAAACCCUUAUGGAAUUGUCAUAGAAAGCUAUUUCACUGAUAAGAGUGUAAUGAAUAAGUGGCAUAUCUUAGUAUGGUGAUUUCUGUUGAACCUUCUAUUUGUGCCUGGUUUUUCAUCCUUGAUUUUCUUAAUGUUGCUGAUAUAUUGAUGUCUGGAAAUGCAGAUUUCAUAGUUGAGACUGGAGCUGAUCUACCUGAUGAAGACGUUGGUAGAAGGAUGCACCGUCGCCCAUUACCACUCCGGGAGGAUGAACAAGAAGAUGUUGAAGCUCUUGAGAGAAGCAUUCAGGCUAGGUAUGCAAGAUCAAGUCACACAGAAUAUGAUGAGGAGACAACUGAUGUGGAGCAGCAAGCACUUUUGCCUUCAGUAAGAGAUCCAAAGCUGUGGAUGGUGAAAUGUGCGGUAUGAUGAUGAUUUCCUGUGCAGUUUAAGUUUUGAAAACUUGUUAUUGGGCAGAAAUGGUUAGUACAUUAGCUGCGGAGUUCAACUAAGAUCAUGUUCAUGCAUGCUAGAUUGGUCGUGAACGAGAAACUGCAGUUUGCCUCAUGCAGAAAUGCAUUGAUAAAGGAUCUGAACUACAAAUCAGGUCUGUUAUUGCCCUUGAUCACCUUAAAAAUUAUAUUUAUAUUGAAGCAGACAAGGAAGCCCAUGUGAGAGAGGUGUGC